AUAAAAAAGUAAAAAACAGUAGUUUAAAAAUAAUUUUUAAUUUUGUCUGCUUAACAUAUAAGUAGUUUAAAAAUAAACCGGCUCAAAAUAAAAAUCUUAUAAAAAAUAAUAAUAAAAAGACUUAAAUUUUGAAUCGGAAACAUUAAUCUUUCCCUUUAUGGUAAGUAAAAUUUUUUAGUAAAAUUUUAUCUAAUUUGGAUUAUUCUACACCGUCGAACUUACACACAUAUCACAUUAGAUAUUAAAAUAAUUAUUUUUUGAGGUCAUUUAAUCACUUAGUAAAUAAUUUUAAAAAUUAUUAAAAUUUGAUUUCUAAAUAGUUCUAAUAGAAUAGAUUAUGUCUAAAGGAAUUAAUUGUCGAAUCAGAUGCUGCAUUAUCGAAAAUAAGUAAAAAAAAAUAUGAAGGCCUCUAUACUUUCAAAAGUACAUAAGAUGUACUCUGAAAGCAGUCAUACAAGAACUGCCCAAAAAUACUGAACGAAUAUUUUAUUUUCAUAGUUUUUUUUAAAAAAUUAUAAUAUUUGAUAGAUAUAUAAGUGCAAUUAAAUGUUUAUCUUUGCUGUCAAUUAUGCAACUACAUUUUCAUUUUGGUAACUGCUUAUAUACAUAUAAAUAUUUGAUUACACUUCUUAUCUAUCAAAUGAGAAUUUAUAUGUAUAUAAGUGCAAUUAAAUGUUUAUCUUUGCUGUCAAUUAUGCAACUACAUUUUCAUUUUGGUAACUGCUUAUAUACAUAUAAAUUCUCAUUUGAUAGAUAAGAAGUGUAAUCAAAUAUUUAUCUUUAUUUUCCAUAUAUAUAUAUAUACAUAUAUAGAGUCCGGCUACUAUACUAUCGAUAGUACCAAGCCCUUAAUACUAUUGAGUUUUCUGCCGUUAGAUCUACCCUUUGAUCAUUUCCACCCAUUAGAUUAUACUAUUAAACCAACCACCAACUCAACCCUAGGAGACCACUAUCAAUUUAACCGGGGACCACUAUCAUUCUAACCGCACAUCUAUUCAUCCAAUGGCCGAAAACUCAAUAGUACCNAUAAGGACUAAACUUAUUUAGAAAAUCAUAAUUAACUAGUAGAAAGUGAGAUAAUUUAAGAUAUUGAGCUCCAUUAAAUAAGUUGAUACUGAGAAUAAGUCGUAUGUAUUUUUGUGGCACUUACUCAAGCAUUCCUUAAUUUUGCAAAAGCAUGUAGCAUUCACAUAAGCACGAUCAAACUAACGUGUUUUCCACUUAAUUUUGUCAUGAGAUUGUUUAAAAUAAAUAAAAUAAAUUUGCAGUAAAACCUGGUCAAUCAUGAGUAUUCAAUCACAUUGUUUACUUUUUUUUUUUGUUCUCCGUUACUCACAUGUUUCGUAAAGUAAUCAGAGAGAAUACUUUUGGAUUGGUAUAUUUUUUAGGGUUAAUUUCAUACAGAUUUCUAUAAAUAUAGUAAAUUACAAAUAUAUUUCUAUAAAGUUUAAUUUUUAUAUAUUAUUCCUAUAAAAGGCAUAAUAUUUUCAAAUAUGUCCCUAUGAUUUGUUACCGUUAAAAUACUAUUUAUUUUAUAAAUAAAAUAACUUUUUUGCCAUCAUAAAUAUGUCCCUUCAAAAAUCACAACUGUUCAUUAAAAAAGCGUAAAAAGAUCAAUUCACCUCAUUAACUAACUAGGAUUAAAUAUUUUACUUAUGAUUAACUAAUUUUUUUUAACGGAUCCUAGCAGUAAGGACGUAUUUGAAAAUAUCCGGACAUUAAGUUCAUGUGUUAAGUUUAUCAAAAUAUCUUGAGUUCAUACAUGAGAAAAAUUGUUGAAUAUAAGUAUUAAAAAAUUUAUUCUUUGCAAAUUUAAAUUUUCAUAGAAAAAACUGUUGUUUCGUAUUAUUUAACCAACGUAUGACUAGCUUCUCUUACUGCGAGACUCUUUUGGAACCUUUUCUUAAUAUUUUUGAGAAAUGGGAGAUUUGUAAUUUUUAGUUUUUUUUAAAAGUUAAUUUCAUACAGAUCCCUGCAAAUAUGGUAAAUUAUAAAUAUACUCUUAUAAAGUUCAACUUUUUAUAUGUUAUUCCUUCAAAAGUCCUAAAAUUUUCAAACAUACUCCUCUAGUUUGUUACUGUUAAAGCAUUAUUUAUUUUAUAAGUGAAAAAAAAUUUUUGCCAUCAUAAAUAUGUCCUUUCAAAAAUUUCAACUGCUAAUUGAAGAGGGGUAAAAAAAAUUAAUUCACCUCAUUAACUAACUAGGAUUAAAUAUUUUACCUAUAAUUAACUAAUUUUUUCUAACUGAUUCUAACAGAAAGGAUAUAUUUGAAAAUAUUAAAACUUUUAAAGGAACAAUAUAUAAAAGUUGAAUUUUAUAGAAAUAUAUUUACAAUUCAUUAUAUUUGCACGAACUUGUAUGAAAUUAACCCUUUUUUUAAAAUACAUUUGCGAAAGCUUGAACCUACCCCCGAGUAACCUUCCCCGGUAAAAGCCGCUAUGCUAAGCAGUGGUUGUUAAUCAUGUGCCACUAAACGGGAUACAAGCGAUAAGUAAACCUAUAAUUAAUUCAAUAGCAUGACUAAGUAUGGUCUAAUUAAUAUAUAAUUACAUACAAUUUAAUUAGUUGUCACCUUUAGUUAGAGUUAUUGUUUACUGGAUUAAAUUAUUUGAUCAGUUACAAGACUAAGUGAUGAGGUAGUUUUUUCUCUCCAGUGUGUGAACAUUUGAAAAUAAAGCAGCUCUUUGUCCGUUUCUGAAGAAAAGAGGAAACACCGACACUAAUUAAUAAUUAAAAUUAAUCAAUGUUGGACAACCAAUAAGAAAGGAUCUUAAAAAAAAAAAAAAAAAAAACUGAGAUAAUAGCUGUUUUUUAGUAGUUGUACACAAUGAGAUGUGACUGUUAAGAAAAGGAUUUAAUUAAACCUUAGCUUAAAUUAGCAGGAUCCAGCUUUAGCACCAUUGUAAUCCUCCUCUAAGCUUUAAAAUAUAAAAUAACUUAGAACCACAAAAGGAAAUAUGAAGUAUUGUUACAGAGAAAGAACAAAUGCAUAGAUAUGCUCAUAAAAUUUAAGAAUUACAUAUUUAUUUAUGCAAAAUUUUUAUUCCGGAGCAUACCCUCCAAAGUUCUAAAAUAUGGUGGAUUUGUUUUUACCAAUUAACAAUUUUGAGUUGAUUGGUGAUUUUUCAUUAUUAGACUGGUUAUGUCUUUAAAAAAUACUGUAUUUUUUUCUUUUACGAAUUAGAAUUUCUGAUUCAUGGCGAUAAAUAACAUGAAAGAUAGAGUAGAAAUAUUAAAAAUAAAGUUUAUAGGAAACAAAUAGAAAUAAUGAAAAUUCAACUGCUAGACAUUUUAGAGGUACCUAUGAAAAUUCAGAUUUUUAAGGAACUGUAAAAAAAUUGGAAAUUAUAGUCUUUCUAAUUUGAAUUCAAUUCUAGUAUGGGCCCAAAACUAUGCCCUAGCAAUAAACAUGCUAACAUAACAAAUGUUUCUUAAAAAAGAAAAAAUAUAUAUAUAUAACAUAACAAAUGUCACAGCAUCUAAUCCAUUGAGAAUGGAGGAGAUGAUUAUGCCCAUAAUUGCAUGUAAUAAUGCAGCAUAAAGAGUUUUUUACUUCAUAUUCCUUGGCAAUGAUUGCAUGUUAGGCAUCAAUUGGAGAUUGUAUCAUUUUUUUAUUUUAGAUAAUACUUUGCUUUUGAAAUAAUUGGGUGAAACAGUUUCUCUACUUUUUAUCUUUUUAUUUUUUUAAGAAAAAAAAAAAAUAGCACAAUCCCUACUUUGUUCAUUAAUAAGAAAAAAAAAAAAACUUUUAUGAGUGCUAAAAAAAUUUCAUGCGUUCAUAUCUAUAAUACGUCUACUUCUCUAAUAAGCUCUUAAUAGUGUGAUCCAUUACGAGAAAUUAAGUUAAUCUUUAGAGGUACUUAUUACAGCAGCAAACUUAAUAAAUGUCGCGAAAAAUUAUAGAGACAUGCCAAUUUUGUUGAAACAAUUAGUAAAUUGAAUCCUGAUAAUAUAAAUUGAUUAGUAACACAACAAAUAUGGAAAAGUAUAUAUAUAUAGAUAUGUGCUUCUGUUUCCUAUUGCUUAAUUACGUUAGAUAAUUUUCAAUGCUAAUUAAACAGACACUUAGUUUAUUUGUUUAUUUAUCUUUUUCAUGUGCAUGUUCCUAUAUUAAUUGGAAUAAAAUGAGAGAGGUAACAUGGCAAACGAUUGACGUAUAUGUAUUUGUAGACUAUUUAAAACAGGACGGUUGCAGGCAUGUGCACAUAGCUUCUUAUUCUUAACUAGAGGUGGGAAUCCAGCUCGCUGUUCGCGAGUCAGCUCGUGUUUGGCUCGAAAUGAGUUCGAGAUUUAAUCGCUCGUUUNUAAUAUAUAUUUUUAUUAUUUAAUUUUUAGCAAAAUAAAAAUAUAAAAGCGAGCUUAAUUAUAAAAAGACUUAUUUAUAUGUAAAGUUUCAACUAUUAGAUCAAAGUCUAACGGAUAUAAUUUUAUAAAUUUAUUUUUCAUAUAUAUCCUACAUAAUUCUUUUAACUUACUAUGCGUUGGCUAACUCGUAAGCCAGUUCGUGUUCGGCUCGUUUUUUAACGAGCCGAACAUAAGUUGAAUUUUUCGACUCGAUACUUUAACGAGCCGAACACGAGCGGACUCUGGCUCGCUAGUGUUCGGCACGUUGACACCCCUAUUCUUAACUGGUUAUUAUGUGAAUUUCGCUUUAUGUAACGGUCACUUUCAUCAUACAUUAUUGUCAAUUUGACUUGUUGUAGCACAAAUAGAGAAGUAGCAUCCUGUAUGUAUGAUGCCAUGAAACUUUAACAAAAAUGUCUCCAUCUUGCCUUAAUUCAUGGCUACAAUAACGUUGUUAGCAAAACUAAUGUCAAUUUCAAUGAAUUGUCUAUAUAAGAUCAUCUGAAGAAUUAGCUUGAAUAUUUCAUAAUAAUACAUUAAUGUAGUUCAAAUUUUUGUAACUAAAGGGUUCAAUUUGGGAAUCAAUUAAUGCUGCAAGCCUACUCAGUCCUAACAAUUAUAAUUUAUAUUUAUUUUACAUGUAACUCUUACUAGAUUCAAUAAAACGUAUAGACAAUAUCCUAUACAUUUCUUUUAAAAAAAAAACUAAUGUCAUUCUCUCUCUCUCUCUCUCUCUCUCUCUCUCUCUCUCUUGCAAUAUUAUCAUAUAAUGUUUUCGAUUCUACUGUUAAAAAAGAAAAUUAUGCAUUCUAACAGUAUUUAGUUAAACAAUCAAUCUCUUGGAUUAAGUUGCUAGCUACAAUUUUUUACCGCAAUUCCAAACAUAACUCUCUAAACCUUUAUUAAAAUAUUGUGCAUGCUCUCUCAAAAUCUAAAAUAUCAUUUAUAUCCCUCUAAACAUAUAAAUCUAUUUACAGAUUAUAAGCCACAAACUCCAAUAAAGAUGGUAUACUAAAGAACAGAUACAAACGAAGGACGAGCUCAUUCUUUGGGUCGCCGGUCCCUACCUUACACGAGCUUCACGUAGUCGUUGAUCUAUUCAUAAAUGAUCUAAUUAAGAAUAAUUAAUAGUACAGGAGAUAUAAUUUUUAGGGUAAACUUCAAAUACCACUCAUGUGGUUUCGCACUUUCCCACUUUAGUGUCAUGUGGUUUAAAGUGUAUCAAGUUAGCGUACUGUGGUUUCAUUUUUAUUUUUUCGUCAAUUUUUUCGUUAAUAGUUUGUUAAAUUAUAUACAAAAAAUUUCAGGUAUCCUAUCUAGAUUUAUCGAAUAUUCACUUUAGUACCUUUUAGUUUUAACUUUGUCACUGAUUUAACGAAAAAAAUUAGUGGAGUCGAUAAUAAAAAGAUAAAAAUGAAACCAUAUAGCACUAAAUUAAUACACUUUAAACUACAGGGUAUUAAAGUGAGAAAAUAUGAAACCACAGUCGUAAUGGCGGUAUUUAAAGUUUUUUCUAAUUUUUAAUAAAAUGCAAAAGUUGAGGGAGCAAUUUCGGAAACGUCCUUACGCAAGCUUCACGUAGUCAUUGAUUUAUUAAUAAGAGUAUCUAAUUAAUUAAGAGCAGUUAAUAGAACAUGGGACAUAAAUAAAAAAAAUUGAAGGGGCAAUUACAGAAUUUAAGGGCUUUUUUUUGCAAAUAGCCCCCUGACAAAUUUUAUUUGUAAAAAUAGUCCCGUCCAAAAAUUAUUUACAAAAAUGGCCCAGCCCCUGCCACGCCAGCGCCACGUCAGCGCCACGCAGGCAGGACGCGCCCCGGUGUUUAAGUUGAACACGGUGAACCAUUCACCGUGUUCAAUACAAAAUUUUUGUAUUGGACACGGUGAAUGAAUGAUUCACCGUGUCCAAUACAAAUACCCCAACAAUGACUAAGUUGGAGGUAUUUGUAUUAGACACGGUGAACCAUUCACCGUGUCCAAUUAUUUGUAUUGGACACGGUGAAUGGUUCACCGUGUCCAAUACAAAUAUUUCGAUCUUAGUUAUUUUGCAUUGGACACGGUGAAUCAUUCACCGUGUCCAAUACAAAAACUUUGUAUUGAACACGGUGAAUGGUUCACUGUGUUCAACUUAACCAUCUGGUCCAGCCCCGACCGCGUGGCGCUGACGUGGCGCUUGCGUGGCGAGGUCAGAACCAUUUUUGCAAAUAAAUUUUUGACAUGGUCAACUUUAAAAAAAAAAUUUGUAAGGGGACUAUUUGCAAAAAAAGCCCAGAAUUUAAUUAGGGUGAUAUAUAGUACAGGUGGUCUCCAUACAAUAUUUGUACCUAAGUUUUAUUAAAUUUUAACAAUAAAGAAUUGAAAAUAAUAUUUGCACCGAAUGACUCUCUCCGCAGUCAACGGAAGCUUCGGAGGGUGCUGUGAUCUCGGCCGUCUCAUUUGAAAUUAUUCUGCCGCGCGGUUGGCGCAGGGCAGUCUGGCACAUGGGCUGCAGGGCUGCAGGCUGGUGGAAGAAUAAAUCGAGCGCGCCGGCUGGACUGGCAACUAAGAAUAGACGCGCAUUGAAGGUAGAAUAGAAUAGCAGUAGAAGCAAACUCAAGCAUCAAUAUGAAUGGUAUCGAUCGCUGCAGGAAGGCUUAAUUUUUGACAGAAUAUUAUUUUAGAUAUUUUUUUUAGUUUUUUAUAUAUUAUUUUCUGUUUUUUUUUUUUUUCUUUUGCUGCAGCAAAAGCAUCGAAUCUUUUACAUUUAGAAACUGUUUGGUUGCGCGUAGCGGCAUAGUUGUAAUUACACUGCAGUUUUGUAAUUGUAUGCAUAUACAAAUUUGAUGUUUGUUUUGGUACAUUUGAAUUCAACUGCACGAAAAAACUCAUUUCGAGCACUUCAAGAGAGUAAUUUUAAAUAAGGGCAAUUGCUUAUAUAUUUUUUAAAAUUUUUUGACUUUCUUAUAUUAUUUUUCCUUCUUAGAAAACUAAUAUUAAAAAUAUCCCUUUAAAGUUCCAAAGUUUUUCAAAAUUAACUAUUAGGAACCGUCGUUAUCUCUGCAAAAUUAAAUUACCGUUUUACCAUUCCGAAUAUAUCCUUCUAUCAUCACCAACUUUUCUUAUUUGCCCUUAAGUCAGGGGCAAAAGAAGUAUUUUGAUUUUUUAACUUUUCAGAUAUACCCUUCUACAAUCACUAACUUUUCUUAUUUACCCUUAAAUUAGAGAUAAAAUAGGUAUUUUCACUAAUUUUAACUAUAGUAGAAAUUUAACUCAGGUUUAAUCCGAGAUGACUUACUAGACACUAACAGAAGGGAUAUUUUGACUAAUGGAGAAAUAAAUGAAGGGUAUAUUUGAAAUAAAAAAAGUGGAGAUAAAUGAAAUAUUUUAGAAGUUUUGAGGAGUAUAUAGGUAAUUAUCUCUUUUAAAUAAAGAUAAACUUACCUAUCUAAUAAUCUAUUAAAUAGAUAUUUUUUUCUUUCUCACAUAGGGAUAAUUUCACCAUUUCAUAUAUAUAAUAACGACAAAAAAUUAUAAAUGCACUUUUCAAUUGCACGCAAUUAAAUAAAGUAUUUGUAGCUGUAGUAUUUUCUACUACAUUCAAUCAAACAAAGUGUAUUUUCUAACACAUUCAAUCAAACACAGUGCAUAUUUUUAACUAUAUUACAUUUAUAAAUACGUCUAACCGCUAGCUCGUCGGUGCUUUCCAACUCCCGAGCGUCCUGAUCUCGAAAUGCAGUUCAUUAAUUGCAGCUUGCAAAAGGUUCCGAUUUUGAAGCUGCUGGAAUAAAAUAUGGUCGAGCGCGUUUCGAUGGUGGCAUGUAGAUUGCAUCUUAAAAGCUGAGUUAAAUAACAUUUCAGUGCUUUUUCAAAUAGCGCUUCUGUAUAAAGCGCCUUCCAAACCUAGCUAUCCUAUCAGUUUUGGAAAGGUCAUGUGGGCCUGCGUAAACACCUCCGUGACUUCAGUAAUUGCUCGGGUUUCUUUUUGGUUCACAUUAGGAUAAUAGGAUAGCAUAAGCUAGCUUUUCAUUAUUCAAAUUUAGAGCAACGACUUGUUUUGUCUUAUUAUCUCUAUGAGUAGCGCAAUUAUUUUUUUUGGGUAAACUUUAAAUACCACAUUUAUGGUUUCGCAUUUUUUCACUUUAAUGUCAUGUGAUUUAUAGUGUAUUAAGUUAGUGUCAUAUGGUUUUAUUUUUAUCUUUUCGUCAGUUUUUCUAUUUAUAUUUUGUAAAUUAUAUACAAAAUACUUCAGAUACCCGAUUAAGAUUUAUCGAAUAUUCACUUUAGUAUCCUUUAGUUUUAACUUUGUCGCUAAUUUAACAAAAAAAAUUAGUAAAAUAAAUAAUAAAAAGAUAAAAAUGAAACCACAUGACACUAAAUUGAUAUGCUUUAAACCACGUGAUAGUAAAUUGAAAAAGUAUGAAAACAUAAGGGUGGUAAUAUUUGAAGUUUCUUUUUUCUUUUCUUUUUUUUUUUUAAUUUUUUUGGAAACCCCAAGUUGUGCUUUUGCUUUUUAGGCCUCACAAUCAUAUUUUAACUGUUUACUAAUUCUGUUAUACAAAGCUACUGCCUAUAAUUAAAUGAAAAUAGAAUCAACAAAUCCUUAAAAAGAAAGGGCUUUAAGGGCAGAGUUUUUUUUUUUUUUUUUUUUUUGGUAAUAUUGCAAAGUUGAAAUUAUUUUCACAAAGUAGGUUUAUUGAAUCUGAAAAAAUAUAUAUACUAGAAUAAAUGCAAGAAAAAAUUUACUAUAGCCCCUUCCAAAAAUAUAUAAUUUCAUAAAUGCCCUUUUAAAAAUUAAAUAUUAUAAAUGUUGACCCACUGUAUGUAAGAAACUUUCAAAAAUAACCCCACUUGCUAUUUUUCAUCAAAAGUUACACUAAUAGCAACAGAAUUCCUAUUUUGUCCUUGUCAACAAUGGCUUUUGAAAACAAUCAAAUAUAGUUUCGUAAAUACCCUCUAAAUUCAAGAAUGCUUUGUAAAUUACAAAAAAAAAGGUUUUUGUUAACUGAGCUAAAACAAACUUUCAAAUCUAAAUUAAUAUAGAAAAAUUCAAACUAAAAAUUUUAUAAAAUAUGAAGAAGUCGAACAAAAUGGUUAAGCAUCUUACAACUUGAAACUAAUCCAAACAAAAUUUUAUGUUAAAGCUAUCUAAACUAAUAUAAUGUCUGAAUUAACUCAUUUAGCACGUAUUACAUAAGAAGUUAUUGGUUAAAAAGUAUAAGAUAAAAUAUCCGUAUAAUACAUAAAGUAAUUUUCAAUACCUUUCCUUAAUUUGAUUAGUAAAAAAUAAAAUUAUAGGGAUUAAAUCACAAGAAUUCACAGCGGAAGGGGUCUUUUUCAUAUAUUUUCAGUGGUAAUAUGCUUGUAAGAAAUUAUAUAUUUCAAAAACCAUUUAGGAGGUAGCAAUAUUUAUAAAGAUAUUUAUAGUAUUUUUUUAAAAAACUCUAGAAGGUUAUAAGUGAAACUAAUUCUUAUAUCUUUACCUACUUAAUUCUAAUGAAAAAUGCUGAUAAGUAGGGGUAAAAUGGUAACAUUCUAUUUUAAAAUGUAUAGAAAUAGACAUUAAAUUGAUGGAUGUUUGUGGAUUUUAAUGAGAAGGGCGCAUUCAUGAAACAAUAUUUGACAUUUGAAGGAUUAUUCAUGAAAUUUCAAAAAUUGAAAGGGUAUCUACAAAAUUUCAGAACUUCGGGGUGUACACAUAGCAAUGCUCUUAAUGUCUUAAUGUAUUUCUCUACAAAAUAAUAAUUUUUGUGCUCACAACAUCACUAUUCUUGUUUUGUUACUCUAUAAAGAGGUAUCACAGGGCUGGGCCACUACAAUUUGGCCCAUUUUGAAAUAAUUAGAUCCAGGCUUAGGUCCAUCAAAUCCUGGCCCAUAUUGUCAUGCAACAAUUAACUCAUAUAUCACUUUUUUUUAAAAAUUGUAAUUUUAGGAUUGGACUUAUUUAAAGUACUUAUAUGAAAAGGAAAAUAUGAAUGGAGCUUAAGCAUGAUUCAACACAACAUAAUUUUAUCUGGGGCGAGUGUGGUUCGCACUUUGGACGAGACAAGCUUGGAAUGAGAAUUGAAUUCGCUGCUUCUUACAAGGAGCACUUCUUAAAAUGGAGGAGCAAUAGCACUAGCUCCGAUAUCAUUGUCCAAAAAAUCGGUAUACGCCUGUUUGUGUUUUUGAAACAGCUCGUAAACUCUGAUUAACACUAGGCAUAGCUCGAUGUUGAAUGAUGGAGGUUUAAGGGAUGGGCGAUUUAGCACGCUCUGGGGACUCCGAGUGCCCCUUAAAAGUAAAAGUUUUUAGCUGAAUCGUCCUUAAGAAGCAGCCCCUCACCGCCGACAACCUUCUUAAGAGAAGUUGGACUGGAAAUACAGCUUGCGUGCUAUGCGGGACUAAAGAGGAAAUGGUCGACCAUUUAUUCGUACGGUGUGUUUUUUCGAGAUUCCUUAUGGUGACGAGCUUGGUGAACGCCCCGCUCGGAGAUAGGGGAGAUGAUGUGACCUCGAUCUGGGACAGAUGGAUGACGAGGAAGGGAACACAAAAACCGUGUACUAUUAUUUUCAGUUUGGUAGCUUGCUGGUGGAUUAUCUGGAAGGUUAGGAAUGGCGUGAUCUUUAGGAAUACCCAACCGGAUGCCAUCCUUCCAGCCCACAAGAUUAAGCAGCUGACGAAGUCUUGGAACCAAGUUUUGUCUGCCCGGUUGUCGUAGUUUUUUUUUUUUUUCGUCCCCAUCGAGGCCCGUGUUGCCUCACCCACGUAGCCUAAUUUAUUCUUCCAAUGAAUGAAGCGGGUAGCAUGCUAUUUUUUUCUCAAAAAAAAAAAAAACACUAGGCACGUAUUUGGCAAGUAGUAAGUUUACAAUUUGGCAGUUAUGGUGAUUUUAAAAGAACUGGCAAGCAGUAAGUGAUUUUAAAAGAACUGGCGCUAACGGCGCUUCUACAGAAGCUCAAGCAGAGCCAAACUGAUUCAUAAUAGGAAAUGGGACAAAUUUAGUAUUAGCAGCAUUUACACAUAAAACCUGGUAUGCAGAAUAUCUUAGUUUUGAAUCUCAGGUAAAACUGAAAUUGGAAUGAGAAUCAAAAUGCACUAGAACUCAAAAAAGAAUAUAACAAAGACUCUAUUUUCACACAAUCAAUUUCAAUAUGGAAAAAGAACUAUAACAUCAUUCCAAUUUCGAUCUUCGCUUCGCAAUUGAAAGCAAGUUUAGCUGUUCAGACACAGUUACACUUUACGUCUGAAAAUUACAUCUGAUGAGUCAAAAAAAAGAGAAGAAAAUUCUAUGCUUUUCUUUCAUGUCAAAGAAAAAUGAUCUUUUUUUUCACAAUCUUUCUCAUGUUAGAUGGCAACAUUAAAGAACUUGGGUAAUAACUAUGGAUAAAUACAUAUGAGAAAAAAACAUGUGUAAAAUACAUGAAGAGAAAGAUAUUAUGUGCUCCUGAGCAUUAGUUUCUAACAUGAAUGGCCUCAUACUAAUGUCUUUUGAACUCCAUUAAUGAGAUGAAUCCUUCGAAUCCGUCCAUGAUUCCAUUGUACUGCUUGUAGUUGCGUUGAAGAUCUCAUCCGAAAUUUGUAUUGCAAUUUGAUUGUGUUGAGCUGCAUCAUUAAUCAGAUCCUCGAGUGAUAUAACCCCUUCCAAUGCUUGCACGACCUGUGCCGUUUUACGCUCUAUAGGUUAGCGCAUGUAGCAUGUCGAAACUUAAAAGCAUCAAUGAUGAGUCAACAGCUAAAUAAUUCACCCAGGGCAAGAGAUACCUGACUCAUCCGUGGCCGAUGCGGUGCCGAGUGCUGCACGCAAGCAGCGGCACAAGCAACCAUUAGCUUCAUCUCGUUAGGAUCAUAGUUUGUCGCCAACCGCGGAUCGACGAGGGCGUCGUAGUUUCCAUCGUGCAAUGCUCUCGUCAGCAAAGGCCUUGCCUGCGUAAUAUGUUGUCGGAACUAUGUUAUCUUGCGUAAAAUCAAUUAACAAGUUCGUUAGAAAAUGAAAUUACGAAAUUGAAACUAACCCAAUCGACCAAACCACUGAGGAGUGUUGAGUUAGCACUCCUCAUAACAGGUUGUCUUCCAGUGAUCAGCUCAAGAAGCAUCACUCCGAAGGAGAAAACGUCGGAUUUAUCAGUAAGUUGGCCCGUAGAAGCAUACUCCGGAGCUAAAUAUCUAUAUUCAUCAAACAAAUUGGAUGUAAAAACGGAAAUGCAUAUAGGCAAGCUCUUCUUUUAAUGACUUUAGAACGAUAUUUUAACCAAAAGGUUAGGGAUUAAAUACAUUGAUGUUAAGUAGCAUGAAUAUUGAUAUAUAUAUAUAUGGAAACUAUUUCCUCUUUAGUGAACUUUUACAUUGACAUGUAUUGAAGUUUAGAAUUAAUGAGAUAAAGUCUUACCCAAUAGUUCCCAUUAUACGAGUCGAAACAUGGGUGUUGCCAUCAUUGAUAAACUUUGCGAUACCAAAAUCUGCAACCUACAUUCAACCUAAACAACAUCACAUAUAUUACCUUUUCACUUUGUUCUCAUUUUCUGUCUCUUAAGACUAAAAUCAAGACUAAAACAAGCACUUGCAAAUAUCAUUAAGAAUCCUAAUCUCCUUUAACCAAUAUUCUUCAUAUUUACUUCCAAUAUAUUUUCCCAUAUGAUCAGUAUAACAUCCUCAGAAAAACACUGUAAGGCAAGAUAUUAUUGCAUUACUACUCAUUACUCUCUUCCUGUUAAUUACUGGAUGUUCUUUUGUUUGUUCUAUAUCAAUAGGAUAAGGAAAGGUCGAAGUUUUGCACAAAAUUGUAGUUAUGUAUACAAUAGCUAUUGUUCCUAAAUUUUCCUCAUCAUUAAAUGAUAAUCUUCAGAGUAUUUCAAUCCUAACUAUUUAGUUACGGUUUUACUCUGUUUCAUCAAAGAAAUAUGAAAGUUUAAGAAGAGAAAACCGCAGUUUUCGCUACUUCCAGCAGUAUACCUUAAAACCAAUUCACAGACUUGCAAUAGAGUCAUUCUCUUCUCAGGAUGAAAAAUUUACUGAGAAUCAUCACUCAUUUGCAGUUCACCUUGAAAAGUACUUCCUUAUCUUAUCUAGGAAUUAGAUAUUAUUCGGUUCUCAUUGUACAAUCUUAUAAGAUCUAUUACUGUUAUGCCUUAAAUCUUAAUUGUCAGACUAAAAUUGAACUAAUUAUACCAGUAUAAAGAAACAAGAGAACAACAAGCCUAAAAUGCAGAUUUUAAGUACAAUUGUCGGCACCUUUGCCUCGAAUGAAUGAUCUAAAAGAAUAUUGGCUGCCUUAAUAUCACGAUGAACAAUCCUUGGUUGGCCUGUGAUUUCAUGAAAGAAACAAGUAUUAAAAACACACCAAAAAAAAAAGGAAAUAGAUAAGCGCGAUCAUAUUUAAGAAGCAGGAAAUUCAGAAACUCACACUCCUCAUGCAAAUACGCCAGCCCUCUAGCAGAACCAACAGCAAUCUUUAAUCUAGUUGGCCAAUCGAUGAUAGACUUGCCUUUCCCUGUAAAAGUUAUCUUAUUAAAAUGUUAAAGAAUAUCAAUCUGACCAUCCGAAAAAUCGUAAAAUGAUGAGCAAAUUCUUGCAUCCAGUACAGUACUUAAGUUUUAACAUUAAUGUGUCAAAAAGACACUUCGAACACCAACUUAAACUAAUUUUUCAGGAAAGAGCCAAGUAAAGAGGACCACCGAUUUCUCUUAUUUCUGUUUCUAAAUAUUUACCAUGUAAGUGAUGAUGCAAAGUCUUAUUCGGAACGUAUUCAAGCACGAGAAGCAUAUUUUCCUUUGUGAUGCAGCAUCCAAUCAAGCUAACGAGGUGUUUAUGAUGCACAUGGCUUAUGACAUCAACCUCGACAUGGAAAUCGCUCUCCGCCCACCCUUUCUCGGCCUUCAACUGCUUUACAGCAACUUCUCUGCCAUCUGUGAGCCUCCCUUUAUGCACGUACGCAAAACCGCCCUCCCCUAAGAGAUUACCAUUCGUGAAGCCACCUGUUGCAGCUGCCAAUUCUUCGUAGGUGAAGCGGCUAAAGCCAAUGUUAGGAUAGCCGACAACUAUAGAUGGAGUCAGUGAAUUCGCUGAUCUGAUAUUGCUAACUUUUGCAUGAGGUGGCGGUGACGAGAACGACGGCGGUGGUGUUGGUAUUGGCAGCAUUUUGACGACAUGGUCGCUUGAUGGAGAUUCAUUGCGCUCCGGUGCCCAUGGUGCAGUGUCAUAUUGCACUUCUCUCGUUUGUCCAUCGGAUCGUUCAGCUGUCCAAAUUGCAUCAAUUAGUAGAAGCAAAAGCAUCAAACAAGUAGUUCAAAAGCUCUGGUCAACCUCGAAAAACAAUUUAACAAGAGUAAUUCGAAUAGUUCAAUAACUUAAUUACUAUAGCUAUGCUGCAAGUCCGUGACAACUUAAGUUACUAACUCUGAAACUGGCCUAUGCAUAACACGAUUCAUACACCUGCGAACACCGAAAUCAAUUACUUGGGCCGAAACAGAUACUAAAAUGUAGGCAUCAAUUUUCGAAACGAUUAAUAGGAGACAAGUAAUAGAGGUCACAGUAGUAGUUGUAACUUACAUUAAGUAGGCAUUUUGAUCCCUCGAAAAAUCAAAAGAUGCGCGCUAAACGCGCCGAGUAUCGACCAAUUCUCACUAGAAAAAUAGAGAAUAAUUGUUCUACUGAGUCUUUUGGUACUAGGACCUUCCCAGCUCUUCAGAUUUUGUUCUUGUUUUACAAAUUCCUCCUUUGCAUUACAUCACACUUAAUUUUGUUAAUCCCCUUGGCUGAUCAUCUAACAGUUAAUCUAGUACAGAGCAGAAAAGUUGCAGAAUAAAUAAUUUGCUGAAAUAUCUUAUGUGAACAUUGAUAACCCUUCUUCUUUUUUUUGUGAAAGUUGUAAAGUACUGGAAUUCAAAAUGCACAUAUUAAUAUAUAGUCACCAACUGAAAUUUAAUGCUUGAAAGAACUGGAUGAUGUUGAAUGAUUCGAAACAAGCUAAACCAGAGGAACUGGGCUGAAACCAAGGGAAGUGUGAACAAGGUUUCGCUACCACAAAAAACUAGCUUAGGCCAAUCAAAGCCAAUCAAAGCCAAUCCGAAAGCUUAAGCUGCGAGUUAGUGAAGGAUUGGUUGAUUGUUUAAUUCGAACAAUUUUUUUCGCAAUACAUGCAAUGAAUGUAGGAAUCACACACAUAGAAGAAGCCAUACAUGAGAGGGAAACUUAUUUUGCACCAGUUGAAAUGUCUUACAUUUUUAUUGUAGUGGAAAUAAAAAUGUCGAGGAGAUUAUAAACAUAUAUAAUACUUUAUCAAAUUGCACUAUACCCUUUAGCAGAGCCAACAAGACCCUUCAAAGAGAGAGAGAGAGAGAGAGAGAGAGAGAGAGAGAACUCGUGGCUUAAAGGGGUCAGUAUUGUGCCCUGUGGUAGGAGGACAGGUUGGACUGAGUCACGUUCGAAAUAGCGAAAAGUCGGAUUGACUGAGUCAUAUUCGAACUGACAUGAUACUGAUUGGACCGAGUCACAAUUAAGACUCGUAAGUACUCUGUCUAUACAUUUUAAGUGAAUUAACUGCAUAUUUCUAACCGCUCGAGUUUAUGGGAUUAAUAAUUGGUGCCAACGAUCCCAUAAGAAUGAAAAGGAAAAAGACGCGGGGGGGUAGGGGUGCUAACUUGUUUUGAAAGUCCUCAAGACGAAGCAGGGGGCUUCCAUGAGCAAGAGACCGAGCUGCACGAUGACUUUCGGAAGUUCGCAUCGCCGGAAUAUGAACCCUCCAACCAACCUGUAUCAACAUGCAUGUAGCACAAUCACUUCACAACUUAGUGUUUAGUUUCAUGUAAAAUAUCUUUUCUGUUUUUUUGCAGAUCAAAGUAGUAUACUUAGAAAACUAUAUUUAUUUAUGCCAAGCCAACUAUUUUUAACAAUUUUACAGUUUUUUAUUAUUUUUAUUUGGGUGCAUUGCUCAUUCCGAAAGAACCUACGUAUCCUAAAUCCAAAGUUGGGGAUUCGAGCCUCAAAUUUAAGGCUCGAAUCCUCAGUCUUAUCAUUAGCUAAAGACUACCUCUGCACGAAAUUCACACAGAGCUUCGAAUCUCUGACCUUAUAAUUAUUAUUUUAACUCGACAUGAGAAGUUACCCGACGAGUACUGUGGCGCAGCCGCAGGCAGACAGCCCAAGGGCGAGGAAGGCGAGAGGGAAGCGCAGCAGCGGCUUCAGCUUCUGGAAGUCGCAGUUGCAAGGCAUCUCCCGAUUCUAGUCCUUCUUCUCAGGUUCUUUUGGUAGAGAGGGAGAGAAAAAUUAGAAGGGAACAAUGAUUAAUUUCUCUUUUUUGGAUUUAGGCUAGCUUGGGAAUGAGAUUUUUGAUUCUCCUGUAAUGUUGGCUUGAAGUCAAAUCUAAUCCGCUUUUGUCGUUUCCAAGACAAAUCUGGGUAAGAAUUAUACACGAUGUUUUUUUUUUUUUUUUUUUUUUUUUGUGAGAGGAAAGAAAAAAAAAGAGAUAUGCUAUGUUGAACAUAAACAAUUUAAGAAAUGAGAUAUGCUACUUAUACAUCCAAGAGUUUAGACACUUUUUAAAAUUUUUAAUAUUAAAAAAUAAAAGAAAAAUUUUAAAAAAGCCCCCUGUGGUUUCGCACGUUCUGAUUUUAAUAUCCUGUGGUUUAAAAUGUAUCAAUUUGUCCUCAUGUGGUUUUAUUUUUAUAUUUUCGACAGCUUUUUUCUUAAUAUUUUGUUAAAUUAUAUACAAAAAAAAUUUAGAUACCCAUUUAGAUUUAUCGAAUAUUUACUUUAGUACUCUUUAAUUUUAAUUUUAUCACUAAUUUAAAAAAAUAAUAAUAAAAUUGAUAAUAAAAAGAGAAAAACAAAACCACAGGGAGACAAAUUGAUAAUUUAGCGGGGAAAACUUCAAAUACCACCUCUGUGGUUUCGCACUUUCUUAUUUUAGUACCCUGUGGUUUAAAGUGUAUCAAGUUAGUACCAUGUGGUUUCGCACUUUCUCACUUUAGUACCAUGUGGUUUCAAGUAUAUCAAGUUAGCAUCCUGUGGUUUCAUUUUUGUAUCAACUUAGUCCCCUGUGGUUUCAAUUUUCUCUUUUUAUUAUAUAUUUCAGGGUAUAUAAUUUAACGAAAUAUUAAAUCAUAGGGUACUAAAGUGAGAAAGUGUGAAACCAUAUGAGGGUGUUUGAAGUUUUUUCUUUUUUAAAUGAACUCUUUGGGAAGAAUCUUCUUCUCCCAUUCUAUUUAGCAAAAAAAAAAAAAAAAAAAAAAAAAGGUCCAACCAAAUCCGUAAUGACUUAAGGACAAAAAUUAAUUUCACAUAAUAAGAUAUUUUUUCUCCUAUUGUUUUCGCAUAUCUUUUUCAAAGAAAAAUCGUUUCGUACAGGACGUUGCUUCAGCUACCCAACAAACGAUGCUUGUGACACGCCGUAGUUACGUUCACAUCAUUUUUUUAAAAAAUUUUUGAUAAAUAUAAAAAACAUUAUUUUAACUAUCACAUAUUUUGAUUUAAUUAUCCAACGUUUAAAAAUUACAAUUUUACUAUCUAAUUUUUUAGUUUAUUUAAUUUAAGUGGAUUAGUAACUCUUAAAUUCUAAAAUUUAAUUGCAUUGUUUAUCAUUACAGAUUUAAUUAGUACAUUUUAUAUAAUUUAUAUACCUAUAAAUUCGUUAAAGUAAGAAAUUAGCUUAAAUUUUUUAUUAAAAAUUUCACCAAAUAAAUUAAAAAAUUGGACACUACAAUCAAAAUUUUGAAAAAUUAAUAAAUAGAAUCAAAAUAGUCAAUAGCCGAGUUAAGUUUUAUAUAUUUUUAUUUUUUUUAAUCUUAUUUACUGGCUUUUUUUUACCCUACAGAAAUGCUCUGACGAUAUAUUUUAUUUAUAUUAAAUCUAAAGUUUAAAAAUAAAUAAUGAUUCGAGCCCCCAAUCUUAUAUCAAGCAAUCCUAAAAUCUACAAAGCAAAAUAGAUUAUAAUCCUAUAGCACUCGUUCAAUGUUAAUUUUUCUCUGCUAAUCAUAUCAAUUUUUUAUUUUUUUAAAAAAGCAAAACUAUAUUUAAAAUCAUUAUUUGGUUGUGAUCUUACAACUUGUCCAUAACAAAAACUAAAAUUUUCACAAUUUUCUUUUCACUCCUUAUUUUUCUUAAUACUAAUUUUUAAAAAAAAAAAUUAUAUUUUUGGAGAAAAUUGUAGCAAACUAACUGCUUCAUUCCUUAAAAGCUUAAAACAAGGAAAAAAAAAUCGUUUGAAGUAUAAGGGAUUAUUCCCUCUUUUAUAUCCAAACACUGAUAGCUAAGAAUGAAAACAGCUGUUCGCAUCCUUAGCCGGUUAUUCUGAAAUAACCCGCUAAGGGUAGGAAUAUAGACGAAGAAUUGUAAGAUUAUAUAUCCUCCUAUGCGUAGUAGAUAUUUUUGUUUGCAGCCAUUUUAAUUCGAUUUUGAUUGUGGACUUAGCAUUGUUUUUUUAUAUUUUUGUCCAGUAAAAACUUGAAAUCAUUUGACGGUCCCACUAAAUAGAGAGAGAAAUAUCAUUUGAGGAGGAAAAUGCAUAUUAGGCGCAGGAAAUAAGGUUUUUUUUUUUUUGUGUGUGUGGAUUUUUCUCCCUAUAUUACAAGAAUAUAAACAACAAAAUAUUAAGCUUUUGUAGAGAAUACGUGAAAAUUUAGAAUUUAUAGAACCAAAUACAAAGAAAAUAAUUAUACAAAGUAUAUGUAUAUACGUAAAUUCUUUUAUACGUCUUUUUGUUUUUCUGUACCUAAGUAGGAUAAAUUAAUUUCACCAAACCUAUUUAUUGAUUAAUUAAAAGGCUUGGGAGCAAAAUAAAACUCCCCCACCCCCCCCUCUAAAGUUCAAAGUAAAAAAAAUUCUUAAUUUGACUUUUAAAAAGAUUCUCUGGAGGUUUCGUUAAUGAAGCUUUUUUGAUCUUAUUUGUUCUCUCAAAAUAUAGUCAAUAGUGGCUGCUUUAAAUGGUGUAAUAUAAUUAUAUAAACCAUAAAGAAAAUGUUAUUGUUUCUCCUUGUACAAAUGUAAAUUUUAAAGCUACAUUUUGCCUGCUUUUGUGGAAUAAAAGCGUGUUGAAUAAAUUAAAUACUUUUCAACUUAAAAGUUAAAACAACUAAAACAUCACAAAUAAAUUUCAAACAACUUUUUGAAAAAAUGCCAUAUGCACCGAUUUGUACGAAAAUUCUAAAACAAGGGUAGCAAAGAAACCACUGCAAAAUAAAUUAUUAUAUGGACCACGUUGAGGUUUCUAAAUCUCAAAUUUUAAGGUCUUAAAAUUCAAAUCUGAAUUUUUUUUUUUUUGAGAGAUAAAUAGCACGCUACCCACUUCCUUUUAUUUCAUUUAGAAAUAAACUUAGCUGGAAAUGUGAAUCAACUAGUAUUGGAACUUGGCUCUCGGGUACAAACCACCAAACUCUUUGCCACUUGUUCUAGGGACGGUCGGUUCAAAUGUGGAUCUUAAGUCUCAUUUAUAAUAUCUAAAUAAAUAGUUUACAUAUGAAAAUUUAUUAUUUUUGAAAAUUUUCUCUAAACAUAAAACAGUUGCAAAAAUUAGUGUGCUAAAAACAUCCAUUAUUUGUUAUUGACGUUCAGAAUAUUAGGUGCUACUAUUAGGGGUGUCAACGAGUUGAACAUAGGCGAGCUAAGGCCGGCCCGUAUUCGACUUGCUUAUGUAUCAAGCCGAAAUAUUCAACUCGUGUUCGGCUGAACACAAGCAGAAUACAAACCGGCUCAUGAACAAGUAAAAAAAAUUAUAAAAGAUACAUAUAGAAAAUAAAUUUAUGCAAUGUUACGUAUCCAUUUGACUUUGAUCUAAUAGUUGAAAUUUAAAAAUAAUCUUUUUAUAAUUGAGUUGGGCUUAAUAUUUAGGUUAGUGGUGGAACUGGGCCCGAGCCUGAACAAGGCCCGGCCCGAUGGGCCAUGCUUGGGCUGGGUUUUGGGCAAUACAAAUACAACUUUGGGUUCGGGCUGGGCUUAAAAUUUUGGGCCUGAAAAAAAUGGGGCUUAUUUGGACAUAUCCAAGCCCGGUCCGAACCCGACCCAAAAGCCCAAUAUAUUAAUUAUUAGAAAUAAUAUAUAUAUAUAUAUAUAUAUAUAUAUAUAUAUAUAUAUUAUAUAUAUAUAUAUAAUAGAUUAUUCAGGAAUACACAUUGAAUGCUGAGUUACGCAUUGAAUUUCUAGUAGUAGAUUCCAUAAUCAAAAAAGUUUUUGUGAUUGUUCCAGAAGAAAUGAAACAUUUUGAAUCUGGGCUCUUCUAUCUUCUACUUAUUUUUGAUAUUUACUUUUUUUUUUUGCUUUAUUCUUUAUUUCCACAUAAAAAGGAAAUCUUUUGUUACAAUAGAACUAGAAGUGAUGUGGAUCAUUCAAGAAUCGAAGUUGAUUUGCUUUAUAAAAAAAAGAUAUCAAUGGAUAUAUAUAUAUAUAUAUAUAUAUAUAGAGUCCGGCUACUAUGCUAUCGGUAGCAUGGAGCGCUCCAUGCUAUCAAGUUGUUUUCGAUGAUGCGGCUUCCAAAUCGACGAUCGGCUCCGUUAGACUUGAUCUACACUAUUGAAAGUAUUUAGAAGCUAAAUUUUAAUUUUUUUCUACAUCAUUUGACUAGUGAUCAAAAGAUCUCAAAAUGACAAUUUUAAUAUCGAUGUGGUGUGUUUGUGAGUUUAACGGUGUAAAACAAUCCAAAUGCGAUGAAAAUUUUAUAGAAAAUUCUUUUUACUAUUUAGAGUAAGAUUAGUAUAUCUGAUCUUGAAUUUAAAUCUUUUAUCAUUAUUUUUCAUGAGAUUUUUAUUUUCAGCCGUUCAAUUUUAGGCUACUUGUUUGAUAGGUAAAUGAUAUCGAAAAAUUAUGAAAUUUAGUUUCUAAAUACUUUCAAUAGUGUAGAUCAAGUCUAACGGAGCCGAUCGUCGAUUUGGAAGCCGCAUCAUCGAAAACAACUUGGUAGCACGGAGCGCUUUGUGCUACCGAUAGUAUAGUAGCCUAGUUAUAUAUAUAUAUAUAUAUAUAUAUAUAUAUAUAUAAAAGGAAUAAAUGAUAUAGACUACUAGACUAGAUUGAACUAAAAUCAAAUAACAAAAAUUUAUAUUAUAAAUAUAUAUAGUUAUUUAUUUAUAUAUAAAUAUAAAUUAUAUAAAUAAAAAGUAUAUGUAUUCCGGUUAUCGAGCCGAACACUAGCGAGCUGACUCCUAACUUAUAUAUAGUUCGUUUAUUAAACGAGUUGGAAAAUUCAGCUCGUGUUUGGUUUGUUUGCUAAACAAGUAAUUUAAUCUCGAACGAACUAAAUGCGAGUUGGCUCGCGAACAGCGAACUGGGUUGCCACCCUUAGCUAUGAAUAGAAACUUAUUCUCUAGAUUUUUUUUUAUUCAAGUAGUUUUUUUUUUUUUUUUGUGAUGGGAAACAAAUUAAUUUUUGUAAAGAAAACUUGCUAGGAAUGUUUUUUUCCUGUUUAUUUUGUUUUUUUGUGAAAAGACCUGUAGCCCCCUGAAGAUAUGUUGUCUCAUUUUGGUGGUAUCACAGUUUUUUAAAAAUAUAAUUUCUGCAUGAAGUAGUAUAAGAUUGCUUAUAAUCUUUACAUUUAAAAUACUUUUUUUGACAAUAAAAUAUAAAAAAUAAAAGCAACUAUCUUUUACUUUAAGUUGUCAUCCAUCAUUUUGGUUGAGAUGUAUUGCAAGUUAACAAACCAUAAUAAUAAUACAAUUUUUUUUUCUUAAAAACAAAAAAAGAAAUUUCACCUAUAUAUCAAAUUAUAUAGAAUCGGCACUAGAAAAAAGAACAACGGUGGCAAACAAGGCAUUUGAAUUUUCCAUUAGCUUUAGGGUAAAUUAUAUUUUAGGUCGUCAAACUAUAAGCAAUACAACACUUUAGUCUUUAAAUUUUAAUUUAUUAUAAUUUCUGUCUCUAAUUUUUUGAAUUGUAGGAAUCAAGGAACACAACCUAAUUUAAUUUGCCUAACUACCGAUAAAUUAUUGAUGCAGAAAUAAUAUAAAUCUUAAUUAUUAUUAUAUCACCAAUCAAAGUACCUUCACAUCCAUUCUACAGUAGUAUUAAUACUUUAUCACUGUUUUGUUAAUUAUAUUGGGUUUUGAGACUUGGUUACAAGUUAAAAUUUGGAGCACAAAGUAUCACACUCAUCAUACUUUUGAGGACCAAAAUAUUAAUUCACCCUUAGGUUCAUUACUACUAGGCCAAAUCAUCAUGGGCAUUAAAUUCUAACCAUGUGUGACAAAAUUUUAAAAUUGUGUGUGAUAAAUGUGAAACCUUUAAAGCUUAGGUAGCAAUCUGAAAAUGGAAAAUGUUAAAAAGUAAUUCUCGCGUAUUUAACCUUGUAUAAUUUAAGCUUUAUUUGAGAUUGCGGAGAGAUUACAUUACAUGCGAUGAAAAAGUACAAUAGAAAAAUCGUACGUAAUAUUGUGUUUCGCAUAUCGCGAUGAGUCAGUUACGGUAUACUUUCUAUGGCCCCAACGAAAAAUGUAGAAGUAUAUCUCCAUAUGAUUUUAUUUCAACUUUAUUUUGGGGCCGUUUGGUUGCAUGUAGUUGCAACUACAUUGCAGUUGUAACUGUAUGUAAAUGCAAAUUUCGUGUUUGCUUUGAUGUAUUUAACUCCAACUGCUGCAGUAGGAACUGCAGGAGGAGGUCCAACUGCAGCAAUUCGAAUUACGCCCAAAUUCGCCGCAGUUCCAACUGCAACAGUUGGAGAGAGUAAUUUUAAAUAAAAUGCAUGCUUACCUCCUCAAUAUUUUUUAAACAAAAAUUAUUUUUCUUUUUUACAUUGAAGGUAAUCUCACCAUCAUAUAUAUAAAAUAAUAAAAUUUUUUAAAAUUAUUUCUCAACUGCAUGCAACCAAACAAAUUAUUUAUACUUGAAGCGCUUUCUACUACAUCCAACCAAACAAGAUUCAUAUAGUUAUAACUGCUGUAUUUCUAACUGCAUUCAUUUUUAACUACACUGCAUUUAUAAUUACAUCUAAUAAAACGCCACCUUUAUUUAAUAGCAUCCAAUAGGUCUGAAUACAAAACUAAACCGGGUUUAGGCCGAUACCAAUGCCUAUUCUUUUAGGACGGGUCGGGCCGUUUUUUUGUUCAAACAGGGCGUAGUUAGGUCCAAUUCGACCCGGUCCGGCCCGGCCCAUUAUCGCGUCUAUGCACCUCCUUCUUCCUUUUCAAACAAAUGGCGCGUUCGUCGUUCUCUUCAGAACAAGAUAAGGUCUAGGGUUUCCUCUCUCACUCCCCAAACCCUAAACCCUAAACCCCAAAACCCUCUCUCUCUCUCUCUCUCUCUCUCUCUCUCUCUCUCUCUCUUCGCGAUGCUCCUCUCUUUUCGCGUCUCACCCUACCUCCCUCUCCGCCGCUUCUUUUUCUUCCUCUGCCGCAGCUCCUCCUCUUCCGCGCCGCCGCCGCUGCCCAUGGCGGGGUACAAGGAGGCCUUCGCCCGGCGCAUGGCCAUGGCCGGGAUCAAACCCCAUCAUCGCAUCGGUGAGAAAAAGGCUCCAUAUUUACCUCCCCAACACUCCUAGUUGCGCCCCAUUCAUCGCGAAUUUUUGCGUUCUUUCGCAGCUUUGGGAGUCUCCGGUGGCCCCGAUAGCAUGGCGCUCUGUGUCUUAGCGGCGGGGUGGAAAUUGGAUGGGUCGGCGCCGAAGGAUGAGGCGUCGGGAUAUAUUGAAGGGCUUUUGGGGAUUGUUGUGGACCAUAGGCUGCGGCCCGAAAGCACCGAGGAGGCGGAGAUUGUUCGAGAUAGGGUAAACAAUAUGGGUAAUUUGCAUCGUCUGGUUUCAGUGAAUUCCAAAAAAAGAUGGUUUUUUUUUUGGUCCCCAAUGUGUUUUUGUGAUUGCAGAUGAUGCUUUCGUGCAGGAAUUCGGUGCGAGAUCGCAUGUUGUAGUUGGCCCGAUGGACAGCCGAAGCAAGGCCAUUUGCAAGAAGCUGCUCGUGAGAUGAGGUUAUUUUUGUUUCCUUCUCAUAUUUGUUUCACGUUUCGGCUAGUUGCUAUCGUAUUAAUUCAUUUAUCUUGCUAUGUAGGAUCUUUAUCAGUUGUUAUAAGGUAUAGGUGGAUUCUGAACAUUUCUCAACUGAUAAUGAUAGUGUUUGUGUAAGUUGAUAAGCUGUAGGCUUGAUAUUAGUGCGCCCUUAUGUCGAAUAUCUUCAUUGAUAUUUUAUGGGUUUGAUCAUUUGUUCAAAUUGCCUAAGACUUGAAUGAUACUCUUUUAUAACCACAAACUUUGAACUUUUAAUUCUUGAUUUAGAUUUGGUGCAUGUGAUUUUCUUGCUCAAUAUUAGAAAUGCGUUUUUCGAAUUCUGUCUAUUUUGUAAUUACUCCUGUUGGGUCUUAAAUUUCAGGUAUCGUAAUUUUCAACGUGUUUGCGAACAGCAGCAGAUUGGUAUCUUGCUUAUUGCACAUCAUGCAGAUGACCAGGUCUGUGCUAGUUCUAUAUAAUUAUUCCAAUUUAUCUCUGUUCUUGGAGAUUGUAUUUAAAAGUUAUUUACGAACUACAAAAAGAAAAAGGUGUAACAUUUAUUUUCCAUAACUUGGAAUUGUAGUUAAUCUCCAUUUGCAAGUUCUAUACUCUUUUUUUUAUUUAUCUCACAGUUGCUAAUCUUACUAAUAUGUUGCAAAUACUCCAUAAAUAGAAAGUUUCCUUUUUGUCUUGUUGAAUAAAAUGAGUUUUUUUUUUUUAAAAUAAAAAUAUAAGCAUUUUUUUUUACUCAGGCAGAACUCUUAAUUCUAAGACUAUCUCGUGGUAGUGGAGUUCUCGGGCUUGCUGGCAUGGCAUUCAUUUCACAAUUGUUUCCUACACAUCUAAGAUGCUCCAGUGAAAGUCCCAGUAGUAAUGGUAUUUUACUUGUCCGCCCAAUGCUUGAGUUUUCGAAAGAGGACAUGUACAAAGUAAGUAUGCUUAUUGGAACACUCAGAUAUUUUAUUUUCCUAUUGUAGUUUAAUAUUUGGUUUCAAUUAUAAAGGACUGAGAAGGUACAUAAGCAAACCAAUCAAAGCAUUUCUAACGCUUCAACAGGGCAUAGACUGUCUAUAUUGUUUUGGGCUGGAAGCUGGAGUUGCAUACAUUUAUUGUUUUAAUGCAUGUACUACUUGCUAACAAUUCUGAGCAUCUUUAAUGUUUUGGUAUUCAUCCUCUUCUCCCCAAUCAUUUCUAAGAUUCACGUCACUACCUUCCUUUUCUGAUUCUUACUAGUUUAAUACAACCUGCAGAUAUGUCAAGGAGUUGAACAGGUUUGGGUGGAAGAUCCAACAAACCAGAACUUGUCAUUUGUACGGAAUCGAAUUCGAGCCUCAUUAACGAAUCUGUCAUCAUGUAAGAUUAUUAUUUGAAACUGAGAUUAUCCUAUUAAUGCUGAUUCGCUUAUCGAAUCGUACUUUUGUUGAUGGACAAUGGUGAAACCACAGUUAGAGACAAGAAAUAUUUGAUUAUUUCACCUUGUGCUUUGCUUUUAAUCACUUUUGUCCACAAAUGUUUCACUGAAUGGGAAUUUGAAACAUGAUUUGGAAGAAUUAACUCCCAGAAAUGAAUGGGCAUUGUGCCUUUUCUCAUCGAUUGUUCUUGUAGACUCUAAGACAUGUCCUCAUCAUGAGUAAUUUUUAAACAUCCUACUUUGUAUUUUAUUUCAGAAUGCAUCUUAUUGUUAUACGAGAACAAUAAGUUUACCACGGAUAUCGGGCUUAACUAGAAUAUACUUGGAAAACAAUUGAUAUCCUUUCUCAUUUGAACCGUGAUGUUAUAGAUAACAUCAAGCAUUAUAAAAGUUCAUGGUUAACAUUUUUCCAAGUUUCCCUUUUGUUCACAUUACAUGUUUGAUUACAGCUGACCUGGUCCGCUAUUCUCAACAAGCGGAGAGUAAGAAAGGAUGGAUUUUCUUUUUACCUUAUAUUUGUGCGCGCGUGUGUUUUUUGUUUUUGCUUUUGUAGUACAUGCCUGCUCCUCGUUGUAUAUUAUGUGAAAUUUCAUAACCAGGCUUCGUUUUUUACUUCCUUUUGUCAAUGUUAGUCUCUAGUAAGACAUGCUUCAAACCUUCUGAUCUUGCUUUAUUAGUAAUCAAGAUAUAAUAGAGCCAUUAUUUAUCCCCUCGCCAAUUUACUCAUGCAUAAGUCUCAAUAUUUAUAGUAGAUGGUUUGACAUGGUUAGUCACAAUCGACCAUCUAUUGGUUACAUUUUGGUCCUUGUUGCUUACAUCAAGCAUGCCAUCAUAAUCGAGGCUCUCCCAACAUUAUUGGGAUAGGUAGAAAAUAACUUAAUUUUAAGGAGGCUUAUGAAUGAGUUGGUAAGUUAUAAUAGGAGCUGUUUAGAGAACUCAUAUGCCUUCCUGAUUCGCUUCAAUGCAAUCAAGAGAUAUGGAAUGAAAAUUUCCGUUUGAAUUUACUUCUGGACUCCUGAUGAGCCCACUUAUAGAAAUUUGGAUUUUGAUUUUAUUGUUUCGUUAUUUCUCGCCUUUUUCUUUUUUCCCCCUCCCCAAUAGCAUAUAUUAGAUACUUUGAAAUGGUUUCCACUCUUACUGGUUUAAAUUUGCUUGGUCCCAUUUUCAGGUGCUUUUAGGUUGGAAUUGCAAUCACUCAUCUCUGCUUGUCGAUUAACGCGUGCAUAUGUUGAUAGUUUUUGCCAUAAAAUGAUGAGGCAUUCUGUGACUAUCGAUGAGGUUUCCUUCGACACUUGUUUGAGCAUUCAGGGCAAUCACAAUACUUUACAAAUUCCUGUUUUCUGGGCCUCCAAGUGGGGGAUAUUUUAAGCAUGGUUAUGUGAUUUUUUUUUUCUUUUUGGGUACCUCCUAAGUACUAGAAAAUUUCUUGUAAUGUGGUGACCAAUUCUUCAGCUAUUUAUGCUGUAGACAUUGAUUUUAUGGUACAACAGGGACCAAGAAAUGGCAUUUACUUCCAUGUUGAUAUUAAGUAUACCUUUUCAGUUGAAGUCUAAUCUUGUUUUAGUAGUAUGCCUGAAUAAGAUAUGGGAGUUUACUUCAUGACUACUGUUCAGUACAGUGUAGCAAUGGUAUUGUGAAGAGUAAACUGGUAUGUAAUUUCCUAGUUGGAGUUUUGGUGUAACUUUGUUUCUUAGUCUAUGUUUUUCUUGAUAGAAAUUCUUCUUUUCUUUUUUCAGUUCUAAUGAAUGCUGGUUAGAAAAUCUGAAAUCUUGUUCGAAAAAGAAAAUAGAUAUCCUGUGGUCAUCAUUGGAGAAUAACUAGUGUUUGUUUUGUUAAUUUCAAAUCAAAUGUAUCAUGAUAACUUUUUGUUAUUUGUAGCAUGGGUAUGCUAUUAUCGAUCUAGAAAAGCUCGAGCCAACAGAAGUUGAUGAUCUUUGCCUUUCACAGUAUCUGGCCUCAAUCUUGCAGGUAUUAGUCGGUAUUUUAUUGCAUUCCUUUUUUCUUUUUGUUUCCAUCAACAAGAACACAACUCAAAUAUGUUGCCUUUUUCAUAUUUGUGAUAGUUAAUUCACAAUGUGGCAGUUUAUCUCUCAAAGGCACAGACCAAUUCGUGGCAGAACUGCUCGAUUGCUAAUUAGCUACUUCCGUAAAAUCCCGUGCAAGGUCAAUUUAUUAUAUUUCCACUAUCCUGGCAUUGUAUUUGAAAUCCUUGGUGUUCAAUGCAAAUAAAUCCUUGAACAAUUAUUCACCUUUUGAACUACUAUGCAGACCUCCCUUUCCGCAGCUGGUUGUUACCUUUGUGCCGCUCCACGGUCCAAAGGCUCAAAAAUUUUGAUCUGUUGCUUGGUUGAGUCGCCUCAGUCAUUUAUUGUUGAUUUUUCAUCUACAUACUCAUGUCGGGAAGAACAAUGUACUCUGCCCAGUGAAAUAGCUCAGAUAAUUAAGGAAGCGGCAUUGUAUUCUAAUGAAUCAGCUGCAGAGGUUUUGAACAUCUCUUUUCUGAAUGCAAAAUGUUCAAUGGAUGUUCUAAGUGAAGCAAAGAAGCUCGAUAUUAUAAGUGAGUCAACUUUGAAAAGUAUUUCCUUACUGAGUGUAGAAGAACAUGAGAAGUUUAUUACCACUACAGAAGCUCAGGAUAAUCAGGAGUCGAUGCAUGAAAUGAACUUUUCUGGUGCUUCAAGCAUAACUAUUCGUCGUGGCGAAGCAUGCCACUUUAUGAACAGGUUCUUAAUUACAUGGAAUUCUGCUGAAGAUGCUAUAAAAUCAGAUAGAGAUCAAGACCAUCUUUGUGAGUUCUGCUUGGGCGACCGGGAAACUAUAUUACACGUUCGACAUUUAGUUGAUGCUGAUUGGUUGUUUCUCGCAGAAGUUUGUAGGAUUCGGGCAGUGGGUGAAUGCCAGUGUAAUUCAGAUGUUUUUACUUGCAAGCCAAAUGAGAAUGAAAUGGAGAAACCUAAAUAUUCAACUUAUAUGCAGUUGUCAGCUGCGAAGGCACUCCAAGCCCUGAAAUCUAUUCCGGUUUCUGCGAGAAGGGCACUCCCUGCACUUGUUAAUUCUCAAGGCUUACUACUAGGUGUGCCGGUAUGUGCAUAUAUCAAUUAUUUGUAAUCAAAGCAUUCAUUUUUUUGGUUAGUUUCAAGAAAAUUUAUAUCCUUCUCAUUUUGAAACAUUUUCUCUUCCUUUAACCGCAUAAUAAAUAAGGCAGUUCUUUCUCUCUCUCUCUCAUGAAAUAUUUGUCACGGUAGCCAUGUUUUGUUAGGCGCCAAAUUUUCCUCACUUAUAUGCAUAAUAAGAGGAUUGACUAAUCUAUUGGGCUUUUGUAACAGAUAUGCUGUCCAUAAUAUCUGAAACUUAAUUAAUGUGCUAGCGAAGAACUAUCUAUUAUCUUUGGUAUUUGCUAUCGACCUGCUAAUGAAAAUAGAUGUACUCAUGGUUAUUAUGAGCUAAUUCCUUUUCUCCUCAUUUUCCUUCAGAGCAUUGGCUUCAGAUGUUGUCCUUGUCUCUCGGUUGCCACAGUAUUCAGUCCAAGGGUGCCCCUUGGAGGAGGUUUCACUUUGUACACCUGAACUGAAGCAAGAAGGUGAUGUAAAUUUUGUUCUUGUGGCGAGAAUCAAGAUAUGCCCAACGGAAACAUGCUGCAUGGGUUAUUUUCACUAGCAAUUGCGUUAGUUCCCGUUCCUUGCAGAUUGUUCGUUGGUAAUGCCCUUUGAUCUUGAUCCAGUCACUAAUUUGAGUUCCAUUGAAUUGUUACUUAACAUUUUUUAAGGUAGAGAUCAGAUCAAUUUGUAGUCAAACGAAGAAAAACACGUGAAAGAUUGUGCAGCACAUGUUUCUCAUUUUUGUUUGAAAGCCAAAAUAUAUUACUCUGGUGCUAUGCUAUAGUAUGGAUCCGGAUUCUUGGUUAGCCAAUAUUUUGUUCUGUUUGUUCUUUACCUCGCUAAGUUAAGCACUCGCACGAAUAAUACGGCAACCUUUAAGGUCUAACUAUUAAUGAGAUGCUGCCAGAUUUGGUGAUUGUCUUCCAUGAGAUGGGCUUGACAAAGAGUAAGAACAUCUGCUGUUCUUCUUAAACAGGUACAUACUAUAAAGACAGGCAAUCGGACGUGCAAUGGAUGCUUUGCUCAAAAGUUUCUGCCUCUUAUUACUGUGAGUUGAUGGCUUUUGAGUGAAUAUCGCCGCUUCAGCCUCAUGGAGCUGCUCAUGCAUUAUUUGGGACAUCAUAUGCCUUCCUCCAGGUUCUUCUUUUGCUAAGUUUAAUAUUUAUUUCCCUGUGUGGUGAAGGAAAUAGUUUUGUCCUUGCUGAGGUAGAAAACUAUGAACUUCUUUUAUUUGUAUAUUUCUUUUCUUUCUUUUGUUAUUUUUAUAAUUUUGAGCCAAUGUUCACAAGAAUCAUUAAAUUAGUUGCACCACCAAGGAUUUAAGUACACAAUGUGUCGUUCACAAAAGUACAUGUAUGCUGACACACUAUGACAUGAAAUAGACAUUUCGUUUGGCACUAAUAUAUUCUAAAUGUUUAUUAUAUGUCUUUAUCAAUUUUUUUGUACUUUAUUGAUGCACAGUUUGCUACUAUCGAAAAAAGGGGGAUUUGAGUCGUACUAUUGGCACAGGUUGUUUUGCCUUGAUAUCUUGUAAACACAGUAUGAACACUCUGUGCACGAGCUAUUCCAAUAGGUACUUAAAUUCUUUUGCACUAUAUUUAGUUCAGGAGUUUAAAACCGUUGCCUUUGAUUUUGGUUAUUUUGAAGAUUAGCAAGGCUCAAGAUCACAAAAAUUAAAGACCACUCAACCCAAAUGGUUUAGUAAUAUAAAAUUUGCAUGGAAUAGUAUGACUAUAUGUAUCAAUCAUUUUUUUAAUUAUUUUACGAGAAACUAAUUUGUAACACAUAUUACCUACAAUUUUACAUGUUAUGAUGACAUGCAGGAGAAAUGAUAACAAGUAAAUACAUUAAUUACUAAACAAACAGUGCAAAUACUGGCUCAGUUUUGUCAAAGGAAACAAGUAAUGAAAUGAAGUAAAACAUCCACUGCACCUAACACACCAAGAACAAUGAACUAGCCCACUGUAAUUAUUUCGCUCCUUUUAUAAUAUAUUAACAAGUAUUUUCCCAUUAAUUUCCACCGAAACGGACGGUGUUGACAAAUAUGAGUAAAAAAAUUGAAAUACAUGAGCUUGCUGCUUCCUGUUUGCCUUCCAGCCAUCAAGAUAAGGAUUUUAAGGAUGGCAAAAAAUAUGAAGAUCACAAUUUCUGUUAGGGUUUUGUAUUCAUUCAUCUUGUUAAAGUCGAAGUCGGAGAAGAAUCAAAGAAGAAGAGAAGAGAGGAUUUCAAGUCUAUUUUGAAGUUGUUAUAUGUGACAAGAUGAAGUUUAGGUUGACAACUUAGCAAAGCCCUUAAUGAUGUUGAUUUGUUUCUUUAAGGUUACUUCAGUAUUGUUUACAACCUAAUCAAUCUUCAGUGCUAGUAACUUUCACUUUCCUGACUACUGUCACUUUAAGCUGAUAAUAUUAGAAUAUUAUUAUUGAUUAAGAAGAUUUAAACGCUAGAAACUUUUGAUUUCUUAAUGACUUAGGCCUAGUUUAGUAAUAUGGUGGUUAAUAUGCUUCUCCCAUGGUGGCCUAGUUUGGUGCAUGUGAUGCUCUAAUCGAUCAGGCACGGUUAGUAUUUUUUAUAGCGAAGGAAAAUUUAUUACUUGUACAAUGUGUAUGCAUAUAUUUUACACACAAUAUUUUUAAAAUUCUAUUAUAAAAAUUUUAAAUUCUCUAAUUAUUUAUGUAUAGACUUUGUGAUAUUGAUCACAUCUGUGAGAUUAAAUUUAGAUUUUGUAAUAUUAAAAUAUUAAAAAAUAGAUUGAACGCAGGUAGUCCACUAAUACUUUGGCGUGUACGGAAUCUGUUAUAACGGUUAAGAGGGUUGGUCGGGCGACGCAUGUCGCUCUGAGCUCCGCCCCAACCACUCUUUAAUGUGACUAGCGAUGGCUUUGUGUUCUGAAUUGUAUAUAUGUAAAAUAUAGUAUACACUAUUUAUAUAGAAUUAUUUUAUAGAGUCAAACAGUAUCAACUUUGAUGUAAUUAUUCAACACAUAUUUUAUAUGGAAUCGAUUCCAACAUGGAAAAUAUUUUUUGAAGAAAAAUAGUAAAGUUUAUAAUAUACUUAUGUUUUACGUCAUUUUGUUCAAAAAGUACGUCCCUAAUUUUUUAUGUUUGUAUAACAAUAAUAAUGAGAUAUACACUAAGCUGUUGUUUAGUUGGAUAUAAGUAUAGUAUUACUGUAGAUGCAUGUGAUUCAAAUGCAGCGGUUAUUGUUGUAUUUUUCUUGUUUGAUUGAAUAUAAUAAAAAGUCUUGCCGGUAUGAAUAAUUUGUUUAGUUUUAUUUAGUUAGAAAUUGUAUAUCUAAAUUUGUUAUUUUACAUAUAUAAUUGUGAGAUCAUCUCUAAUGUGUGUGUGUGUGUGUGUGAACGCAUGCAUGGGAGUCCGGCUAUGGUAUUUUUAAAAGCACCAAGCACUUGAUGUUUAUAAGUUUUCCAUCCUUAGAUCUAUCCUUCUGACUAAUUUGAUUUAAAUUAUGUUAUUUCACCAAUCGGACACUCAACUUUAGGAGGCCAUGUGCGUAGAGUCCGGCUAUAGUGCUUUUAAAAGCACCAAGGUAGUCGGUGCUUAUAAAUUUUUUACUGUUAGAUAAAUAUUUUUGAUCAAUUUCAUCUCUUAAAUUAUGUGUUAUUUCACCAACCACUCUAAGAAUCAUGUGCUCAUAUUUGUGGCCACAGAUUAUUCUACGGAGUGGGUUGAGGCUGUGCCACAUUUUUGUUUCUGCUUCUGUCCGAUACCGAGAUUCUAAUGAUCCGAACUGUUAAGAUGAGGCCUUCUUCUCCACUUGACUCAAGGCGGGGCCCCCUACACACUGUUUGGUUCAGAGUUAAAGCCGCGGGGGCGGGGGGGGUGGGGGGGGGGGGGGGGGGGAGAGAGAUAAGGGUUUAAUUUUUUUAUUUAUAAUUUAUAAUUUAUAAUUUAAAAUAAAUUUAAAUUUUUAUAAGUUUAAAAUUGAUAUUUAUAAAUUUAAAUUAUUAAUUUAAUUUUUUAAAUUUAAAAUUUGAUAUUUGAUAUUUUUAAAUUUAAAUUUAAUCUAAAAACAAAAAUUUAGAACUUUAAAUUUUUGAAUUUGAGAUUUAAAAUUUUAAUUUUUAUUUUGAAUUUUUUAGUUUUUUAAUUUUCAAAGUUAUAUAUUUAAAUUUAAAAUUUUAAUUAUAAAAUUUAAAAAUUUAAAUUCAAAUAUAAGGAGCAAUAUUAUUAUUUUCUAUUUAUAAUUAUCCAUUAUUCUUUUUAUUCUAUCUUAUCUAUUCAAACGCUAUUUUUCUUAUUUUCGAAAACUUAAUUUUAUCAUCUAAACGCAAAAUUGAUCUAUUUUAGGCUUAACCUUGAACUUAUACUUAUUUCUGAAAUAACUAGCUCUUAGUUAAUUUCGAACCGUACAAAGCCUAAGAGAUCACUAUUAAUCUAAACAUAGAUUUAUCCAAAGGUCGAAAACUUUCAAGCACUAAUAACUUAGUGCACAAUAACCUCAAUCUGGUACCUCUCUUUUGUCACUAGUCUUACUAUUUUUUUUUUUUGUUUUUAAUUCUCAACGCUUUUAGAAGAGUAGUUGUAUGGAUUACAACUUUUUUGGGUGGUAGACUUAGUAUUUUUCGAAAAGAAAGAGGAGUCUUAAACCUAUAACUUAUUUUGAAUUGCAAAAAAAAGAUUGGCUAGUUUUGCAUUUUUACAAAAAAGGCCACAUUUUUUAUUUCUACAUAUUUUAAUUGAUUUUUUUUUUUUCAAAUUCAUUAAAAUACUCAUAUUUUCUUUCUCUCCUUGCUUUCUUUCUCAUUUUAUUUCCCCUCACUCCUUCAUCGUCCCCAUGUCGCUGUCACACUCCUCCCCAACCUCACGGACGAGCGAAAGUACGAUGACGAAGCUGGGCUCACUCGUGGCUGUUGCUGUUUUUGGCGUUCUCCGAUAAGGUCGCCGUGAUAGAGGCAAGGGGGGCGCCGCUUGGAGCAUCGCCAGAGAUAGAAACGGAGGUCGCAAAGGUAGAGGGCUAUAAUUGCUAGUCAAGAAUGCUCAUGAAGCAUAUUCGCAAGCGGGUUCAGAAGCAUGACCGAUGAUAACCAGAUGAUGGCGAUAAUGAGAGAGAAAAAUCUAGCGGACGACGCGAUGUUGCACGAUGUAAAAAAAGUUGCACUAUUUGAACAUAAAAUUGUACUAUUUGAUACGUAUAAUAAAAUAUAAAAUAGUAUAAUUUUUUUCUAAAUAGUUCAAUUUUUUCAAAUAGUGCAAUAUCAAAUCGUUCCUUAGAUUUUUUUUUCUCUCAUUACCGCCGCCACCUUGUUGCUGCCAGUCGUGCUUGCGCACAAACAUGCUUUCAAAGCAUUCUCAACUAAUGACCGUCGCACUACUUCUCUGCCACCUCUGUCUCCAUUUCGGGCGAGGCUAUAAGCAACUACGAUGAUGAGCAGGUCAAGUUCACCAUUUUCCUCUCACUCGUGAGGUACAGCACGACGUAGGCUAGGUGGAGUUAAUGUGGAGACCGCGAAGGUAGAACGAGAGCUCGAAGCUGCCACCGGUGGCGGAGACGUGGGCCCAUGAGGAGCAGAAUAGGAAAGAUGAAUUGUUUAAGGCAGAGUAAUAUUUUGGCCCAUUUUCAAAAAUUUUGACAUGUAUAUAUAAAAAUAAGAAAUAUGACAUUUUAUUAAAAUACAAGACUAGUGAUUAUUUUAUUUUAUUAUUUAUUUAUUUUUGCAAAACAGUGGAUUGUAAUCCUACAGCAAUCCCAAUAAUAUAACUACUGAACGAAUCACUUGAAAAAGACUGGAAGCUAGAAAGACAAUACAUCUUUAUUUAAUCCUGCAGCUCCAGUAUCUCGCAACAUUUUCUACGAAGAGCAAAUAACGACGGGUAAAAGCAUAUAUAGUGACAUAGAACCCCGUGAAUCGUAACAAAGUUCAGUCACAUGAUGGUGCAGGUGUACUGAUCGGAAUCUUCCUCGUAGACGACAUUGUAGCCGGCGCCGUUGCACCAGGGUCCACCACUGCCGCUGCAGCCGCAGCGGCAGCCGCCACCGCUGCCGCCACCUCCACCGUUGCCAUCACUGCAGCCGCAGCGGCAGCCGACACUGUCGCUGCGGCGGNAAAUGGCCGCAGCCGUAGCCGCAGCCGCAGCCGCAGCCGCAGCCGCAGCCGCAGUGGCAGCUAUCUGGGGGGACCCAUCCGCUGUCCUCCUUCCCGCACGAGCAGCACCGGCGCACUCCUCUCCCUCCUCGGCAGUCGUACCACGGGCACGGGCACGGCUGCUGGCAGCAGCCCGGCCACACCGGAUAAGGAUACGGCACCCCCACUAGCUUUGUCUUCGUCGGCGGCGGAGGGGUCGGGGGCGGCGGCGUUGGCGGUGGAGAGGGAGGAGGGGGCGGCGGAGGCGGAGGCGGAGGCGGAGGGGGCGGGGGCGGCGGUGGAGGAGGAGGAGGAGCAGGAGGAGGAGGGAUCUGGACGUCCUUGAUCACCUUGCAGGCCAUGCAAAGCAGCUUCUUUGACAGGCGCUCGGGAUCGAAAGGGCCGGAAAUUUUGACGGUGUUCUUCUUCUCGUCGUAUACGAUGGUCUGGAUCUUCUCUCGUUCUCCACGUUAUUAACAAAAAUUAAUGCAGUCAAAAAGGACGAAGAGAGAAUGCGAAAUAACUAUUUUUUUCCGAAAAUUUAAACUAUCCGAGAAUUUCAACUCUAAGACUUUUUAUUCUAAUACUAUGUUAAAAUAUGCGGCGAUAGCUGCUGUUCUCCACAAAUUUAUGCUGACAAGAGAGCAGCUUUUUUCUGAUAUUUUAUAUUCGACAAGUGCACGGAAAGCUUGAAUAAUUGAGAAUACCUUGGAGCUUGCACAGAACCUUUUUGAUCUUUUUGUUGCAGCGGCAGCAUUCCAGGUCUACUUUUAGGAUUAAUGUGGAGACCUGCAGUUGUGCAGUCGCAGAAGUAAAAGAGAUUGGCACACACUAGGAAUGUGAAAAGUUAAAACAGAUCGGCACUUUGUAUACUAAGGCAAAUUUAAGAUUCUGCAGACCAUGGACUGAGCACUGCAGAACAGAAAAAAAAAAAAAAGAAACUGCAAUAAUACACCCAGAGAAAGCAAUCAAACGAGCAAGCCUUCAACUGGUCGUUUCUGUUUAUCUCUAAAAUGAAGCAUCAAUGAGAUUCUAAUUAACUCAACAUCUUCUGCAUACUGAGAAACCUGCUGUUUGUUACUACUUGAUGUAAAUUUGAUUUUUUAUUCAGUGAAAAUACUUGGUUAGCUUUCGGAAAAAAAUUGAAAAAAGAAAUAUCAGAGAUUUGGAAAUUUGAGCACCUUCUCAGCCAUUGCUUAAACCGAUUGAUCCGAAGAUCAGAGAGAGAGAGAGAGAGAGAGAGAGAGAGAGAGGAAUGAGGGGAACAAGGGGAAUCAGGCCUCUCUCAUUUCGCCAUGUAAAUUGGAGUUAAAUCAUAAUUAGAUUACAAUAGAAUAUUAUCUAUCUAUACCUGUAUAUUAUUGCUUAUAAACUUUGCCUUCUUGACCGUUGCCUUUUUUUUUUUUUUUUCCUUCAUAAUGAUCAAAUUUAUUAUUUUUCAUCACCAUGCGAUUUUUUGUCUUCCCACCUGUGCUCUUCCUAAUUAAUAUGUUCACAUGCUUCAUUAUUUUCUACACAAAUCAAUUUUAUAAAAAAAAUAAAUUUUUUUUUUAGAGGGGACACAAUAAAAAUUCAUAUUUUAUUAUUUUUUUAAUUUUUUCUCUCUUUUUUUUAAAUUGGGUGCUAUGAAAUUAGGGUUACGAGAAUCGUAGCGUGACAAGUAGGAGGAAGUAGCGAUGAAUUUGGAGUCGGUGGGGGAAAAAAACGAUGAGUCUGAAAGAUCUGUACAGGAUCGACGUGGCUGUAACUAAAGAGGAGCUCGAUGCUGACAAUGGCAGCGAAUGCGACGUGGAUUAGAAUUCGCCUUCCCGAUAUCGACAGCGCAAUUAAGGUGCUUAUAGAGAGUAGUGAUCUACUAUUUCUUUUAUUAUUCUUAUACGUAAAUUAUUUAUUGAAAGUAUAAAUUUUGUUAUAUCUAUUUCAUAUUUUUUAUUUAUAUUUAUUAAUUUCUCAUAACAAGUAAAAAAAAUGUAAAUUUAUUUUAUCUUGUCAAUUUUUUAUUUUUUAUAACAUCAAUCCACCCUAAUGUACAAAUAACUUCACUAGUUUAACAUUAUAAGAGAUAAACCGGAGGACUCCAAAUUAUGUUGGAGCUUAGGGUACACUUUAUUCGUCAGUGAGUGCUCUGGUGGAGCCCGUACGGGUUAGUGAGAGCGAGUGAGAGUUACGCGCACCUCGUAGAAACCGAAAAGAAUAAGGUCUCAAGGGGACCCUUCAAAGUGAACCCAAAGCAUCUUCCUUUUCCUUUACGUAGUUUCACCAGUAACAUCUUACAUCGUCAAAAAAUGGAGAUGUGACGCCACAUUUCCUAUAGGAUCAUCUAUUAUAAAAUUAAUUUUCAUUUUAGCAUACUUAAUUUUUCUAAUCCUUUUAAUUUAAUCACCGUCCAAUAUAUCAUAAUUGAGUUGAAAAAUUUAGCUCUAUUAUAUUUUAUAUAUGAGAAUAUUUUAAAUUCUAAAGUGUCACAAGAAGAUAUUUAUUGUUUGCAAUAAAAUUAAUUAAAAAGAUUUGUGGAGAUGAUCUAAUGGCGGCGGGGAGAAAUCCUUAAUCUUUGUUUAGAGCAAACGCUCGAUGAACAACCGAAAAUGAACCGUAAUUCCCCAUUAGUCCCAUCAUUUUUUUUAUUCUUUUUGUUUAAGAAUCAAAAAGGGGUUAGUAAAUCCCCAAACCAACAUUAUCAGGAGUCGAAGCAUGAAAUGAACUUUUUCGAUCUGAUUCUUCAGGCACAAGCAUUCGCCGAUCAUGGGGUUCGAAGCAUGUUAUUCUAGGAACAGAUUCUUUAUUUCGUGGAAAUCUAUUGAAGAUUCUCAGGGAGAUAAAUACCAUCUUCGUGAGUUCUCUUGCGCGGCCCGGAAACAACCUUCAUAAGUUCCAUCCUUAAUGAUUGGUUGUUUCUCACAUAGUUUUGUAGGAUUAGGGCAGAUAAUUUUGGAGAGAAUUAAAGUAGAAUAUAACAAGAAGAGCAACAAAAAUAUACGUGGUUCGGCUUAGCCUCUCAAAAAAGUAUAAAAGAAAGUGCUAAAUUAUGUAAAAUAAUUGUUUUUGCAAAAAAACUAACUGUCCCUAGAGUAAGUGGCAAAGAUCUUGGUGGUUGGUCCCCAAGGUUCCAAAAUCGAAUCCUAGUUGAUUCACAUUUCUAGCUAAGUUUAUUUUCAAAUGAAAAAAAUAAAGCGGGUAUCGUGCUACCUAUUUCUCAAAAAAAAAAUUGUUUUUGCAAAAAAUGUUAAGUUGAAAAAAAAAUGAUGUUUUUAUUAUUCAAUGCUUCCCUCACGUUUAGACUUGAGAAUGAUAUUUUUAUUAUUUAACAUAGACUUUUUUUUUAAAAAAAAAAAGGCUUUCUUCAUAAAAAAGAAAAACUCAUAUAUUCUAAUUUUCUGUCUAUUUAGCUUUUAAAAUAACUAAUUUUUCUUGAAAUUUGUUUUGCUCACAGUUUAUGAGAAACCAUGUUUUCGUUUUCGAUUAUUUUUCCCCGGAAAACAACCGUGUUUUCCCAUUAAUUUUCAUAAGAAAAACUACAAAAUAAAGGCACUGACAAAUAUGAGAAAAACGCCAAGUUAGAUGAGUUUGCUAGAUACUUCAUGUUUCCCCCGUAGCCAUCCAGAUAAGAUCUUUUAAGGAUGGCCAAAAAUGUGAAGAUUGCAAUUUUUGCUAGGGUUCUAUAAGCAUUCAUGCAUCUUGUCGAAGUCGAAGAAGAAGAGAAGAGAGGUUUCCAAUUUAUUUCAAAUUAUAAUGUGCGCUAAUAUAACGUUUAUGGAGUAAGGGACUCAAACUAAGGACAGUUAAAUAAUGUCAUGAGGCUGAUGGGACUCGAAUUCAUAACCUUAUAUUCUGACGUUUUCUAGAACUAAAAAUGUGGGCUUAAUCAAAUGGGAAAAAAUUAAAUAGUAAUAGAAACUUAAUAAAAUUCGAACUCAUGAACCUCAUGUUUAGAUAUCUAGUUUUGUGGAGCUUCGACUCUAAGCCCCCGUUUGGUUGGGGAUUAAGAGGGGGGGUGGGGUGGUGGUGGUGGUGGGGCGGUUAAGAGGGUUAUUCCUCCUUUAACCCUAAACAAAAAAUUUGGGGGAGCUAACCCCACCUCAAGAAUAGGGGUGGGAUUAAGUUAAUCCCACCCCUAUUUAAUUUUUUUAAUANUACGUCAUUUUAAAAAAUUUAAUUUAAAAUUUUGAAUUGACAACUUUUAAAUUUUAAAAUUUGAAUUUUAAUUUUGAAUUUUGAAUUUUGAAUUUUAAAUUUUAAAUUAUUAUUUUUAAUUUUUUUAAAUUAUAAAUUUGACAUUUUAUAUUUGUAACUUUAAAUUUUUAAAUUUGAGAUUUAAAAAUAAAAUUUUAAAUUUUAAAUUUUAAAUUAUUAUUUUUAAUUAUUUAAAAUUUAAAUUUAAAUUCAAAUAUAAAAAUUGGGACCAAAUUAUUAUUUUGUAUUUAUAAUAAUUCACUAUCCUUCUUAUUCCACCUACUCUAAUCAAACACUAUUUUAUCUAUACCCGCAUUAAAACCAAUUUUCAACCAAAUACAAAAUUAUUCUAAUCCCACCUUAAUCCUGAACUUAACUCUAUUUCUAGAAUAACUAGUUCUUACUUAACCCUGAACCAAACGAAGCCCAAAGAAAAUUAAAUAAUGUUAGAAGUUACGUUUGAUAGAAUUCGAAUUCAAAACAUCAUGGUCUGUUGUCAUAUUAAAUUAUAUAAAAUAACUAUUUAUCUCUAAAAGAUUAUGCCACUAAAGAAAUGUUUAUAUAUAUAUAUAUAUAUAGGACUUUUUUAUAAAACAACCCUCUAAAAUUUUGAAAUUUGUAAAAUAACCCUCUCAAAAUUUUAUUUGGCAAACUAACCCUCCUUUCGCCAUGUCGGCGCCACGUCAGAAUUUUUUUUAAAGGCGGUGAAUCGUUCACCGCUUUCUCCCAUUUCUUUUAAAAGCGGUGAAUCGUUCACCGCUUUCUCCUAUUUCUUUAAAGACGGUGAAUCAUUCACCACCUUUCACUUAUUCACUAUUUCUUUCUAUAUCCCAUAUAUAAUCCCAACAACCACAUAAAAAUUCUAACAAAUCAUAUAUAAUCUUAACAACCUUUAAAUCCUAAUAAUUUAUCCAUAUAAUUUCAUAUAAUCUUAACAGCCUGAAAAUCCUAAUAAUCUAUCUAUACAAUCCUAAUAAUCAAAUAAAAAUUCUAAUGAUCCACAUAUAAUCCUAACAACCUCACUUUUUUCUAUUUCCUAUAUAAUUCACGCACAAUUUUAAUGAAUGCGGUGAACGAUUUACCGCUUUAAAAGAAAUAGGAGAAAGCGGUGAACGAUUCACCGCUUUUAAAAGAAAUGGGAGAAAGCGGUGAACGAUUCACCGCCUUUAAAAUAAAAUUAAAUAAAUUAAAAAUUUUAAAUGUGUCGAUUAAUAAGUUGAAAAAUUAUUGAAAAAUAUAAAAAUAUUAUAUAUAUCUACUUAUUUAUUUAUAAAUAGUAAUUUAAAUAAUUAAUAAAUUUAUACAAUUAUUUUAUGUUUAGUGAAGGUAACCUCACCACUCUAUCUGAACAGGUGACAAAAUUCAUAAAUACAACUAUCAGCUUCAUAUUACCAAACAGAAGAAAUGUAACUGCAGCAGUUGCAACUGCGUAAAACCAAACAGACUAGGUGUAGUUACAACUGCAGCAUUUGCAACUGCAUAUAUUUCCAACUACACUGUUUCUGCAACUACAUCCAACCAAACGGCCCCUAAGAGUAUUAUUUAAUCCUAGGGGAGACCGCAAUCAUCCCAACCAUACAAUUUUUAAUCAAAAGUCAAAAAUUCAAAAACAUCAAAUCCUUAUAUUUUCGAUAGCAUAGUAUAUAUAUAUAUAGAGUCCGGCUACUAUACUAUUGAUAGUACAAGCCUUUGGUACUAUAGAGUUUUCUACCGUUAGAUCUACCCUGUGAUUAUUUCCACCCGUUAGAUUAUACUAUUAAACCAACCACCCACUCAACCCUAGGAGACCACUAUCAUCCUAACCGCACAUCCUUUCAUCCAACAGCCAAAAACUCAAUAGUACAAGGGCUUGGUACUAUUAAUAGUAUAGGAGCUAAUUAUAUAUAUAUAUAUAUAUAUAUAUAUAUAUAUAUAUAUAUAUAAUAUAUAUAUAUAUAUAUAUAUAUAUAUAUAUAUAUAUAUAUAUUUAUUAAAAUAUAUAAAUAUAAUAUAUUUUAAUUAUAUAUAGGCUGAGUGAAUAAUCUGAGUUUAGUUAAAAUUGAGUCAAUAUUGUUGGCCCAUAAAAACAAACCAAUAGACAAAUAAAAGAGCAAAAUUUUACUAAAUUUAUAUAUUUUUCCUUUCUUUCUUUCUUUCACAGAGCUCUCAAUUUUCAAUAUGUUUCUCUCUUUCUCUUUUUCUGUCUCUCACCCUAAGUGGCCAAGCGGAAAGCCCUCUAAGUUACCAAGUAACAUCAUAUGCCCACCGUUGCCUAUCUUAUUAUUAAUUGUAUGCUUGAGAAAAUAUACAGAAUAUUUUUAAAGUAAAAAAUUAUUAUUCAUAUAAAAUUUUAACUUUAGUUAUAUAUGAUUGGAUAGUUUAAUCCAAUACUUAUCUAUAUAAUUUAUUUAUUUUUUACUGCAUAAAUGAAAAUGAAUAAUAUAGAAAUUGAAGGUAAAAGAAAAGACAUGUAAGACUGAAAAAAUUAGAUAUUCAACUCAUAAAUUAUUUUUUUCAUAUUAUAUACUAUAUUUCAUAUAAUUUUUUGCACUUUGAAUUAUUAGACAUAUUUUUGUAUCAAAUUAUAGAUAAUAUUUUAUAUAAAUUAAACUAUUGAUCGUAUAAUGUCGAGAAUUUCAAGCGGCUCGUUUAAGGCUCGAGCUCACUCGACUUGAAAUUAGGCUCGCUCGGAGCUCANNNNNNNNNNNNNNNNNNNNNNNNNNNNNNNNNNNNNNNNNNNNNNNNNNNNNNNNNNNNNNNNNNNNNNNNNNNNNNNNNNNNNNNNNNNNNNNNNNNNNNNNNNNNNNNNNNNNNNNNNNNNNNNNNNNNNNNNNNNNNNNNNNNNNNNNNNNNNNNNNNNNNNNNNNNNNNNNNNNNNNNNNNNNNNNNNNNNNNNNNNNNNNNNNNNNNNNNNNNNNNNNNNNNNNNNNNNNNNNNNNNNNNNNNNNNNNNNNNNNNNNNNNNNNNNNNNNNNNNNNNNNNNNNNNNNNNNNNNNNNNNNNNNNNNNNNNNNNNNNNNNNNNNNNNNNNNNNNNNNNNNNNNNNNNNNNNNNNNNNNNNNNNNNNNNNNNNNNNNNNNNNNNNNNNNNNNNNNNNNNNNNNNNNNNNNNNNNNNNNNNNNNNNNNNNNNNNNNNNNNNNNNNNNNNNNNNNNNNNNNNNNNNNNNNNNNNNNNNNNNNNNNNNNNNNNNNNNNNNNNNNNNNNNNNNNNNNNNNNNNNNNNNNNNNNNNNNNNNNNNNNNNNNNNNNNNNNNNNNNNNNNNNNNNNNNNNNNNNNNNNNNNNNNNNNNNNNNNNNNNNNNNNNNNNNNNNNNNNNNNNNNNNNNNNNNNNNNNNNNNNNNNNNNNNNNNNNNNNNNNNNNNNNNNNNNNNNNNNNNNNNNNNNNNNNNNNNNNNNNNNNNNNNNNNNNNNNNNNNNNNNNNNNNNNNNNNNNNNNNNNNNNNNNNNNNNNNNNNNNNNNNNNNNNNNNNNNNNNNNNNNNNNNNNNNNNNNNNNNNNNNNNNNNNNNNNNNNNNNNNNNNNNNNNNNNNNNNNNNNNNNNNNNNNNNNNNNNNNNNNNNNNNNNNNNNNNNNNNNNNNNNNNNNNNNNNNNNNNNNNNNNNNNNNNNNNNNNNNNNNNNNNNNNNNNNNNNNNNNNNNNNNNNNNNNNNNNNNNNNNNNNNNNNNNNNNNNNNNNNNNNNNNNNNNNNNNNNNNNNNNNNNNNNNNNNNNNNNNNNNNNNNNNNNNNNNNNNNNNNNNNNNNNNNNNNNNNNNNNNNNNNNNNNNNNNNNNNNNNNNNNNNNNNNNNNNNNNNNNNNNNNNNNNNNNNNNNNNNNNNNNNNNNNNNNNNNNNNNNNNNNNNNNNNNNNNNNNNNNNNNNNNNNNNNNNNNNNNNNNNNNNNNNNNNNNNNNNNNNNNNNNNNNNNNNNNNNNNNNNNNNNNNNNNNNNNNNNNNNNNNNNNNNNNNNNNNNNNNNNNNNNNNNNNNNNNNNNNNNNNNNNNNNNNNNNNNNNNNNNNNNNNNNNNNNNNNNNNNNNNNNNNNNNNNNNNNNNNNNNNNNNNNNNNNNNNNNNNNNNNNNNNNNNNNNNNNNNNNNNNNNNNNNNNNNNNNNNNNNNNNNNNNNNNNNNNNNNNNNNNNNNNNNNNNNNNNNNNNNNNNNNNNNNNNNNNNNNNNNNNNNNNNNNNNNNNNNNNNNNNNNNNNNNNNNNNNNNNNNNNNNNNNNNNNNNNNNNNNNNNNNNNNNNNNNNNNNNNNNNNNNNNNNNNNNNNNNNNNNNNNNNNNNNNNNNNNNNNNNNNNNNNNNNNNNNNNNNNNNNNNNNNNNNNNNNNNNNNNNNNNNNNNNNNNNNNNNNNNNNNNNNNNNNNNNNNNNNNNNNNNNNNNNNNNNNNNNNNNNNNNNNNNNNNNNNNNNNNNNNNNNNNNNNNNNNNNNNNNNNNNNNNNNNNNNNNNNNNNNNNNNNNNNNNNNNNNNNNNNNNNNNNNNNNNNNNNNNNNNNNNNNNNNNNNNNNNNNNNNNNNNNNNNNNNNNNNNNNNNNNNNNNNNNNNNNNNNNNNNNNNNNNNNNNNNNNNNNNNNNNNNNNNNNNNNNNNNNNNNNNNNNNNNNNNNNNNNNNNNNNNNNNNNNNNNNNNNNNNNNNNNNNNNNNNNNNNNNNNNNNNNNNNNNNNNNNNNNNNNNNNNNNNNNNNNNNNNNNNNNNNNNNNNNNNNNNNNNNNNNNNNNNNNNNNNNNNNNNNNNNNNNNNNNNNNNNNNNNNNNNNNNNNNNNNNNNNNNNNNNNNNNNNNNNNNNNNNNNNNNNNNNNNNNNNNNNNNNNNNNNNNNNNNNNNNNNNNNNNNNNNNNNNNNNNNNNNNNNNNNNNNNNNNNNNNNNNNNNNNNNNNNNNNNNNNNNNNNNNNNNNNNNNNNNNNNNNNNNNNNNNNNNNNNNNNNNNNNNNNNNNNNNNNNNNNNNNNNNNNNNNNNNNNNNNNNNNNNNNNNNNNNNNNNNNNNNNNNNNNNNNNNNNNNNNNNNNNNNNNNNNNNNNNNNNNNNNNNNNNNNNNNNNNNNNNNNNNNNNNNNNNNNNNNNNNNNNNNNNNNNNNNNNNNNNNNNNNNNNNNNNNNNNNNNNNNNNNNNNNNNNNNNNNNNNNNNNNNNNNNNNNNNGAAAUGGGAGAAAACGGCGAACGAUUCACCGUCUUUGUAAGGAAACCCUGACGUGGCACCCACGUGGCGAAGGAGGGUUAGUUUUACAAAUAAAUUUUUACAGGGUCAUUUUGCCAAUUUCAAUUUUGGAGGGUCAUUUUAUAAAAAAGCCCUAUAUAUAUAUUAUAUUAUAUAUCUCGAGCUCGGCUCGAAUUAAUUUCAAUCCAAGCUUGAGCUUAAAUUUAGACUCGAAAUUAAUUUCAAGCCGAAUUUGAGCCGAGGUAAGCUCGCUCGAGCUCGGCUCGUUUCCACCCCUAAGUACAGUGGAGCAUAUACUUAUAAAAUUUUAUUUUUACUUUUUUUUUUUCAAAAUUUAUAAUUUAAUAUAAUAGAUAUUAUAUUUAAUGCUAUUUUUUUUUACAAAAGUUGUAGGCAAAAAUUAUUAUUAUUUUUUUGUUUUAAGAAGUGCUUUGAAGAUAGUCAAAUCUGCUUGCAUAGACAUAAUCUAUAGUAUUUAAAGAGAUAAGAAUAAAAAUUUAAAAUUUAAAAUCUCUCAUUUAUAAAUAUUUUAACUUUUAUAUAAAAAUUAUUGGUAGAAGCGUACACACUUAUUUAAACUGCAAAUCAUUUUGAAUUGACUAUCCAAUUUUUCAAAAUUUUAAUUUUACUAUUCAAUCUUUUUAGUUUCAAAUUUUAAAUGCGUCGUUUGUUUUUACAGAUUUAGUUAACAUACUUUUAUAUAUAUAUAUAUAUAUAUAUAUAGAGUUUUGCUAGAAUACUAUCGGUAGUAAACGGCUCGGUUUACUACCGAUUUGUUUUCAAUGAUAGAGCUUCCAAAUUGAUGAUUGGCACCGUUAAACAUAAUCUAAACUAUUUAAACUAUGUGGAAAUCAAAUUUUACACAUUUUCGAUAUUGUUCUCUUGUUCAUCAAGUGAACAGAAAAAUGAAUGGCUGGAAAUGAAUAUCCUUUAAAAAGUAAUGAUACAAUUUUUAUAUUUGAGAUCUAGAGUCUAGAUUUUAUUUUAAAUAGUUUAAAGAAUUUUUUAACAAAAAUUUAGUUGAUUUGAACUCUUCUACACCGUUAAAGAGCAAACGCACUAUAUUGGCCAUUAAAAUUAUAGAUUUUGUGACCUUUUGAUCGUUCAGUUAGUGAUGCCAAAAAAUCAUGAAAUUUGAUUUCUAGCUAAUUUAAAUGGUCUAGAUCAUGUGAGGGAUUAGGAUGCACACCAUUUGUAAAUUAACAAUAAUAAAUAAAUAAAUAAAUAGCUAAAUAAAUAAAUAAUAUAUGUAUUAUAGGUAAAUAAAAAAUACUUAUAAAUAAACUCAUACUAAUAAAAUUUUUGCAAAAAAUUAAUUUUUUUAAAUUUAUUUUAUUUAAAAUAUAAAUAUAGUUUUUUUUCUAAAUUUUUAUAGAAUUGGAUGUUUAUGUUAAUUUAAUAAGUUUUAAUUAAUUAUAAUUAUUAAAUUUGAUAAAAAAAAAAUGAGAGAAACCGUUUAAAAAUUUUUUAAGUUUGAUUUACAUAUUAAAUUAAAUAAAUUAAAAAUUUUAAAUGUGUCGAUUAAUAAGUUGAAAAAUUAUUGAAAAAUAUAAAAAUAUUAUAUAUAUUACUUAUUUAUUUAUAAAUAGUAAUUUAAAUAUUAAUAAAUUUAUACAAUUAUUUUAUGUUUUUAGUUGAAGGUAACCUCACCACUCUAUCUGAACAGGUGACAAAAUUCAUAAAUACAACUAUCAGCUUCAUAUUACCAAACAGAAGAAAUGUAACUGCAGCAGUUGCAACUGCGUAAAACCAAACAGACAUAGGUGUUCUGAGUUACAACUGCAGCAUUCUGCAACUGCAUAUAUUUUCCAAUACACGUCUGCAACUACAUCCAACCAAACGGCCCCUAAGAGUUUAUUUAAUCCUAGGGAGACCGCAAUUCAUCCCAACCAUACAAUUUUUAAUCAAAAGUCAAAAUUCAAAAACAUCAAAUCUCUAUAUUUUUCGAUAGCAUAGUAUAUUAUAUAUAGAGUCCGGCUACUAUACUAUUGAUAGUACCAAGCCUUUGUACUAUAGCAUGUUUUCUACCGUUAGAUUUACCUGUGAUUAUUUCCACCCGUUAGAUUAUAUAUUAAACCAACCACCACUCAACCCUAGGAGACCACUAUCAUCCUAACCGCACAUCCUUUCAUCAACAGCCAAAAACUCAAUAGUCCAAGGGCUUGGUAUAUUAAUAGUAUAGGAGCAUAAUUAUAUAUAUAUAUAUAUAUUAUAUAAUAAUAAUAUUAUAUAUAUAUAUAUAUAUAUUAUAUAUAUAUAUAUAUAUAUAUAUAUAUUUAUUAAAAUAUAUAAAUAUAAUAUAUUUUAAUUAUAUAUAGGCUGAGUGAAUAAUCUCGAGUUUAGUUAAAAUUGAGUCAAUAUUGUUUGGCCCAUAAAAACAAACCAAUAGACAAAUAAAAGAGCAAAAUUUACUAAAUUUAUAUAUUUUUCCUUUCUUUCUUCUUUCACAGAGGCUCUCAAUUUUCAAUAUGUUCUCUCUUUCUCUUUUUUUCUGUCUCUCACCCUAAGUGGCCAAGCGAAGCCCCUCUAAGUUACCAAGUAACAUCAUAUGCCCACCGUGCCUAUCUUAUUUAUUAAUUGUAUGCUUGAGAAAAUAUACAGAAUAUUUUUAAAGUAAAAAAUUUAUAUUCAUAUAAAAUUUUAACUUUAGUUAUAUAGAUUGGAUAGUUUAAUCCAAUAUUAUCUAUAUAAUUUAUUUAUUUUUUACUGCAUAAAUGAAAAUGAAUAAUAUAGAAAUGAAGGUAAAGAGAAAAGACAUGUAAGACUGAAAAAAAUUAGAUAUUCAACUCAUAAAUUAUUUUUUUCAUAUUUAAUACUAUAUUUCAUAUAAUUAUUUUGCACUUUGAAUUAUUAGAAUAUUUUUGUAUCAAAUUAUAGAUAAUAUUUUAUAUAAAUUAAACUAUUGAUCGUAUAAUGUCGAGAAUUUCAAGCGGGCUCGUUUAAGCUCGAGCUCACUCGACUGAAAUUAGGCUCGCUCGGCUCGGCUCGAAUUAAUUUCAAUCCAAGCUUGAGCUUAAAUUUAGACUCGAAAAUUAAUUUCAAGCCGAAUUUGAGCGAGGUAAGCUCGCUCGAGCUCGGCUCGUUUCCACCCCUAAGUACAGUGGAGCAUAUACUUAUAAAAUUUUAUUUUUACUUUUUUUUUUCAAAAAUUUAUAAUUUAAUAUAAUAGAAUAUUAUAUUUAAUGCUAUUUUUUUUUACAAAAGUUGUAGGCAAAAUUAUUCAUUAUUUUUUUGUUUUAAGAAGUGCUUUGAAGAUAGUCAAAUCUGCUUGCAUAGACAUAAUUCAUAUAGUAUUUAAAGAGAUAAGAAUAAAAAUUUUAAAAUUUAAAAUCUCUCAUUUAUAAAUAUUUUAACUUUUUAUAUAAAAAUAUUGGUAGAAGCGUACACACUUAUUUAAACUGCAAAUCAUUUGAAUUGACUAUCCAAUUUUUCAAAAUUUUAAUUUUACUAUUCAAUCUUUUAGUUUCAAAUUUUAAAUGCGUCGUUGUUUUUUUACAGAUUUAGUUAACAUACUUUUAUAUAUAUAUAUAUAUAUAUAUAUAGAGUUUUGCUAGAAUACUAUCGGUAGUAAACGGCUCGGUUUACUACCGAUUUGUUUUCAAUGAUAGAGCUUCCAAAUUGAUGAUUGCACCGUUAAACAUAAUCUAAACUAUUUAAACUAUGUGGAAAUCAAAUUUUACACUAUUUCGAUAUUGUUCUCUUGUUCAUCAAGUGAACAGAAAAUAAAUGGCUGGAAAUGAAUAUCCUUUAAAAAGUAAUGAUACAAUUUUUAUAUUUGAGAUCUAGAGUCUAGAUUUUAUUUUAAAUAGUUUAAAGAAUUUUUUAACAAAAUUUAGUUUAUUUGAACUCUUCUACACCGUUAAAGAGCAAACGCACUAUAUUGGCCAUUAAAAUUAUAGAUUUUGUACCUUUUGAUCUUCAGUUAGUGAUGCCAAAAAAUCAUGAAAUUUGAUUUCUAGCUAAUUUAAAUGGUCUAGAUCAUGUUCAACGGUGCCGAUCGUCGAUUUGGAAGCUCUAUCAUCAAAAAUAAAUCGGUAGUAAACAGAGCAGUUUACUACGAUAGUAGCCCAGUCAAACUCCCUCCCCCUCUCUCUCUCUCUCUCUCUCUCUCUCUCUCUCUCUCUCUCUAUCUAUAUAUAUAUAUAUAUAUAGAGAGAGAGAGAGAGAGAGAGAGAGGAGAGAAAGGAUGAGCUCUUAUGCUUUAAAAGUACCAAGUUAUUGGUACUUACAGAUUUUUUGCCUUUGAUUAAGAAAUAUGCAGUUAGGAUGAUGUGAGCCCCCUAGGGUGGAGUGGGUGGUUGGUUGAAUGGUAUAAUUUAACGGGUGAAAAUGAUCAAGAUGUAAUCUAACGGUAAAAAAUUACAAGUACCAAAUACUUGGUGCUUUUAUAAGCACUAUAGCCAGACUCGUNNNNNNNNNNNNNNNNNNNNNNNNNUAUGUUCAACGUGCGAUCGUCGAUUUGGAACUCCAUCAUCAAGAAAUAAAUCGUAGUAAACAGCAGCUUUCACUACCGAUAGGUGGUUGACCCAGAUUCUCAACCUCCCUCCCCCCUCUCUCUCUCUCUUCUCUCUCUCUCUCUCUCUUCUCUCUCCUAAUAUAUAUAUAUAUCUAUAGAGAUCAGAUGACCGAGAACGAGAGAUUUUUUUUUGAUAUUUUUAUAAUUUUGUAGGUCUUCUUGAUCUAAAUGGUAUCUGUAUAUAUUUGUUGUACUACAGUUUUUCCUUGAUUAGAAAUAUUGCUUAGAUGAUUGAGCCACUAGGUGGACGGGUGGUGGUGAAUGGAUAUAAUUUAACGGGGUCACCGCAUUGGUGAAAAUGAUCAAAGAUGGCCAAAUCUAACGCCGAUAAAAAAUUACAAGCUACCAAAUAUUGGUGUAUUUAUAAGGCACUAUAGCCCAGACUCUCUCCUCUUCUCCCCUCCUCUCUCUCUCUCUGUUCUCUCUAUAUAUAAUACUAUAUAUUAGUAUAUAUAUAUAUGCUCUCCGAGCACACCUAUAAAUUCAACGUAGAAGUUAAAAAAGUCAAAAUUAUUUUAAGAUUAACAGGCCCCGGGCCCCCGCCGAGAGGGCCAUAAUUACACUCUUCAUCUGUUCCGAUCCGACCUGAUAUGAUGGACCACAACUACAGUAUGGUAAUGGGUCCUCCCCAAACCCCUCCGAAAGAAGACAGAGACAGGCACUUUGAAACACAUUGAUAAGCAUCCAGCCUGUUCAACAUCCCAAUUAUCUAUUCCAGCCUCCAAAAAAUUAAAAAAACCCCUCCACUGUCACCUCGGUGAUGAUAUCUGUUCAAGCUUCGUCAAUUCAUAUAUUAUUCACAUUUCUAAGCUAAAUUUUUUCUAAAUAAAUAAAAGCAAGGAUAUAGAUCACUCAUUCUUAUUUCUUAAAAAAAAAAAAAUUUCCAGCCCAUACGGUGCGAGUAAAUGAAAUAUUUUAAAAAAAUUAUUUAUUUUUUAAUUUACGUAUUUUUUAUUUUAAUUAUUAGCCUACACUCUAUCUCCUUCACCUCGCACACUACCAACUCUAUACUCUUAUUUGCGCUUAUCAGUAUUCUUAUAUCCCGGUAUUAUAUUGCAUCAUAUUUGAUCCUAUAUUUCCAAACUUUACAUUAGUAUAUCUUUGACUCCACUUUAGAAUCUUAAUAUCACUUUAACUCUGACUAAAUAAUUAAUUCUAUCCCGAUAGACUGCAUCACAAAUCACCUCCUAUACAGUCAUUGCUAUCAUAUAAUUAAACAUUUAUACUACUUUUACAUAAAAUGAUUAUCAAUAUUUAUCAAUAAUCUACUAGUCGAGCGUAAUCUAUAUUAAAUUUAUAAUUGAAGAAUCUAAAUAGUGUCGGCUCGGUCACAGUUUGAGACCAGUUUGUGACUGUCUCUUUCUCUCUCUCUCUCUCUCUCUCUCUCUCUCUCUAUAUAUAUAUAUAUAUAUAUAUAUAUAUAUAUAUAUUCCAGCAACUAUAAAUUUAAUAGAAUAAAAAAUUAAGUCAAAUUAUUUUAAAAUUAAAGUGUCGCAAUAAUACACCCUCUCAUCUGUUCCAUCCCGACUGGAUAUGAUGGCCACCAACUACAAUGGUUGGUGGCCCGUCCCAAGACCGGCCGAAAAAGGACAGGACAGCACUUGAAACACAUUGAUAAUGGAUCCAGGCCUUUCAACAUCCCAAUAAUUCCAGCCCAAAAAAAAAAAAAACUAGGUGAUUGAUAUCCAAGGUUUCAAGUUCGAAUUCUAUUUGAUUCACAUUUCUAACUAAAUUUUUUUCUAAAUAAAAUAAACGAAACGAAUAGCAUACUAUUCUAUUUCUUAAAAAAAAAAAAAAUUUCCAGCCCAUACGGUGCAGUAGAUAUGAAAUAUUUUAAAAAUAAAUUAUUUAUUUUUUAAUUUUACGUAUUUUUUAUUUUAAUUAUUAGUUAAAUUAGUUUAACUAAUAAUAAUUUAAAUCGGUAUAUGUGCGUUAUAGAUUUUUAUACGGUAAAUUGCAUAUUUGAUUAUUCAAACUUUAAUUUAUUAUGAUCUUUGGAUCCAACUUUUAGAAUUUAUACAUUAAUUGACUAAAUAUUAAUUUAUCGCUAACGCAAAAGUGAUAUAGCAGUAUUGCAUCAAUAAUUAAAAUGUUAUAUUACUUUUACAUAAAUGAUUAAUCAAUAUUUAGUCAAUUAAAAGUUCGAGCGAAAGAUUAUAAUAAAUUAUAAUUUGAAGAUUAAAAUAUUGUCUGGCUCGGUCACAGUUUGGACCAGUUUGGACUGCGUCUUUGUCAGAUAUCUCCAAAUUAGCAUGGAAGGAGCGGGGAUAACUGAACUAGAUACUGGGGAUGUUAAGCAGCUUUGGACUGAGACUACUCAGUCCCCGAAUGCCAGGUAGAGAACGAAUAGGCUCACACAUUUGGCGGCAAUCUGGUGGGUGGUAUGGACGAAGCACAACAAGAUCAUAUUCAGCGGGGGGUCUCCCGAUGCUACCCGUGCAAUUGGUCGUAUCGCAUCAUUGACGGAGGCUUGGACCGAAGUGCUUGACCCGUGACCGUUCGGUAGUCCUGGCAGUCUCCAUCUUGUUUUGUCUUUUGCUUGCUCGCUUCUAAGUUUUGUAUUCCUUUUUGCUCUUCCUAUUUUGUUUUCUUUUGCAGUUUUUGUAUUCCUUUUUGCUCUUCCUAUUUUGUUUUCUUCUGCGGUUUCUCCAGUUCCUUUAGGAGGCCUUAACUGUCUCCAUUUCUUGUACGCUAAAUUCAUUUGGCUUAAUGAAUGAAGCAAGCUACCUUUUUCUCAAAAAAAAAAUAUUGCCUGGCUAACUAGCUCAUAGUUUGAGGACCAAACAUACAAUUUACUCGAUUUUAUAAGAGUAACUAAUUAAUAAAGCAUUGGCACGAAGAAAGGUAUAGAGGUAGGAGUGUAAUGUGUUUUUCGGGCUGAAACGGGCUCACUGGCCUGAAUUUAAUUUCGGGGCUGGCCGUGCCGGGCCCAAAUUAUCUAUCCUCUGGCCGCCCGGCACAGCCCUUCGGCCUGGGACGCACGGGCCGUGCUUCGGGCCGGCCUAAUAAAAUAUUUAUUUUUAAAUUUUUUUAAAUUUUUUUAAAAUAUAAACAUCCAAUAUUUUCAUUUAAAAUUAAUAUUUUGAUUAAAAUAAUAAAAAAUUAUAAAAAUAAUUAUACUAAAAUAAAUAUUUAAUUUUAAAAAAAUAAAUUUGUAUUAUUUUUUUUAAAAAAAGAUAGACUUUGGUCCAAUGAACCAAAAUAUUUUGGUCCAUUGGACCAAACUGCACCUCCCAAGGUCUGCCUUGGGAGGAGAGCUCCUGGGGAGGCCCUCCUCCCCAGGAGCUCAGACCACAUGGCCCAAGGCAGUUGCCUUGGGCCACGGGGUCCGGGUUCGGCUCGCACGGCCCAAGCGGGCCGUGCCGUGCCGAGCCGCCCGCUUUUCCUAGGCCCGACACCAUCCAGGCCGUUUCGGGCAGUGCCAUGCCCAGCCGUCAGGCCCCAAAGGGCGGCCAGCACGGCCUAGAGCCUCGGGCCGGCCCGGCCCAGCACGUGUGCUACAGUACCCGUGCCGGGCUUUAGCCCGGCCCGAGGCCAUGCCGGGACGGGCGGCCCACGUGCCGCCCGGCCGGUUUUACCCCCUAUAUAGAGGCUAGCGCGCAAAGCAAUCGAGAAGAUGAUAUAUGUACAAGUAAAUAGCUAAUAUGAGUGUUAAAUAAUUAAAACACAUUGUAUGUCUAUCUAUAUAAUUUCUUAUAAUAAUUUUCGAUUAAGUAAUUUUAUUGUUGAAGAAUAAUUCUGCAAGAACUCGUCAAUUAAAUGUGAAAAAUAAGAAAUAAUAUAAUCAGAAAAUUUUAAGUUGGCUAAAAAAAAAGAAGAUACAAUAACUGCAAGGUAAUAUAAUAGCUACUAUUUAUUAAAAAUAUUUUAUAAAAUUAUAAUAUGGAAUAAUAAAUAAAAAUUUGUUUUUUUUAGAUAAAUAAAAAUUUGUUCCGUGUAGUAAAUAUAUCAUUACAUUUUAUACAACAGAAUUUUUUUUAUAUGCAAUUUUUUCUGCAGUUUAUGCCCUGUGGACUUGUGGUUGCCAUUAAUUUAUUGAAUUACAUUUUGAUUUUUAUUAUUAAUUAUUAAAAAGUAGGUGUGUUUCAUGCUGUAUAUUGAUCAAUAUCACGCAGAUAAAAAAUACUGAAAGAGAAAUUAAUGAUACACCUUUAAAUUUAAGGUUUAAGUACAAAAAUCUCCAUGCACUUUAUCAUAUAUCUUAAAUAUAUUCCUAUAAAAUUUUUAAACAAUGACGCUUUAUGAUCUCCUGUCAAAUAGGUUUAGUAGUUUAUAGAUUUUAUUAAUUUUUGACGAAAGUGUUAAUGAUGGUGACGUGAAAAAAUAACAUGCAUGAAUACUUUUUUAUGAUUCCUCUUAAAGUUGGAUACUUAAAAGUAUAUUUAAUUAAAAGAGUUUAAAUGAACUUUAAAAUAUAGUAUCUUAUCUCAACGUAACGCCGUUAAAAUUAAUAAAAAAUAAUAAUAAAUAUAACGUACUAAAGUGCAGAGGUGAUAUCAAAGAUAUUUGAAACAUGAGUAGAACUGUUAUACUAUCGAAAGUAUAAAAUAGUUAGUGCUUUCGAUUUUUUAGUUCUUAUAUCAAUCUCAUUGAUCAUUUCUAACUAUUGGAUUAAUAUUAUUAAGCAAUGGGGACCUCUCAACCCUAAGAGAACCGCUAUCAUCCCAACCAUAAAAUCUUUUAUUCAAAGACUAAAAAAUUUAAAGCAAUAAUUAUUUUAUGCUACUCAUAGUAUAGUAAUUCUACACUUAAAACAUUGAGCUCUUUAUUUACAGCAAUAGCUCCAGCAUUUUGCAUCAGAUUGUCCGAGAUAGAUUCUUCUUAUAUUAUACAGAAAAUAAGAAAGGAUGAAAGCAUUCCGAUACAGCAUAUAAGUGAUUAAGUUGGGUCACAUGGUGGGGCAGAUGGACCCAGGGUCUUCCUCGCAGACGAUCUUGCAGCCGCCGCCGGAGCACCGGGGACAGCCGCCAGCACCGCCACAGUGGCCGCAGCUGGGCGGGGUGACGACCUUGCAGCACCAGGUACAGCCGCCAGCACCGCCACAGCGGCCGCAGCUGUGCGGGGGCCACGAUCCGCUGUCUUCCUUCCCGCACGUGCAGCACUGGUAGCAUCCGAUUCCUCCUCGGUGAUCGGGGCGCGGCGACGGGCACGGGCACGGGCACGGCUGCCAGCAGCACCUCGGCCACGGACACGCCGGCGGCGGAGGGGGAGGAGGUGGCGGUGGCGGUGGCGGUGGCGGUGGCGGGGGCGGUGGCGGUGGCGGUGGUGGUGGCGGGCACAGUGGCGGUGGCUGGCACGGCCACGGCGGAAAAAUACACACCACCUUCGGCGGACACGGCUUCGGCGGCGGCGGCGGGGGAGGGGUCGGCGGCUUAUCCGGUGGCUUCGGCGGGGGAACGAUCUCGAUGCCCGUGAUCACGUCGCAGGCCAUGCAAAGCAGCUUCCUUUUCAGGCCCUCGGCAUCGAAAGGGCCGGAAACUUUGACGGUGUUCUUCUUCUUGUCGUAUUCGAUGGUCUGGAUCUUCUCUCGUUCUCCCAAGUUAGCAAAGAAGGAGAAGGAGAGGCACAGUAAGUAAUGUUAAAGAAUGUGAAAUAUUGCAGUCUGCUCCGAUACCGUAUUUAAAGAAGUAAAUUUUGAAAACAGCGUUUUCAUAUUAUGAAAUGCAUGGCAAGCAGUGCAAGACAGGGACGGAGCCAUUGUCAGACUCACAGCCGCCAUGGUCCCGCUGGAUUUUUAAAAAUUAUAUAGAAAUCCUUUAUAAUAAAAAUUAGAAUAUAUUAUAAAUUUUAAUUUUAGGGGAAACAAGUUCGCUAUUUUUUUAAAUAAACUUUAUGUUCCAAUUUUUUUUCGAACCUCUUAGUUCUUUUUCUUCAACUACUCUUUUAUUACAUUAUCGCUAUUGUCGUCAACAAUAGGUGGCCAGUAAAUCUGACAAACUCUUUUUCGUACUAUUCGAGGUCGAAUUUUUUCUUGCUAAAUUUAAAUCACUUUGUCCCUGGUGCAAGGGAAGCUUGAAUAGUAGAGAAUACGUACCUUGGAGCUUGCACAGAACCUUUCUGAUCUUCUUAUAGCAGUGGCAGCAUUCCAGGUCUACUUUGAUGAUUAGUGUGGAGAUCUGCAAGAGCAAAAGUGAUUGGCAUAGAAAAGAAAUUGAGCACAACAAGCAAGCAAUGCAGCUGAUGUGGAGACUGAUCAAAAUUGAAUUGCUAGGAAAGUUAAAACCGAUAUCGCACUUUGUAUUUUAAGGCAAUAUCAAAGGUUCUGCCGAGUACAUAUGGACUGAACACUGUAGAAUAGAAAUGUUGAGACUUCAAUUAAGGUCGAGGAAUUAAAUGAAGUUUGAAGUCCGACGAGGCUCAAAUUUGUGAGCUCUUGUUUUUUAACUUUCAAUAUCAUGUUAAAUUAUGAAAAAUUAAUAAUCAUAUAUGUAAUGAUCUGAUUUAUUAGUAAUAAUAACUUGUUGGACUCAAACUACCGAUCCAAAAUGUUUAAACUCAGUUAUCAUUAUUAGAAUGGAAACUUCAAUGGUUCAUCCGAUGUGCACUCCUUGCUAGGCAAUUUUCGGCUGGUAUUCGAUUCUGAUACCAAUUGUAAUGACUAGUCCGUUACCAAUAAUAAUUUGUUGGGUCCAAACCACCGGUCUAAAAUACUUAAAUCCAACUAUUAUUAUUAGGAUGGAGGCCUUAUAUAUUUUAAUCAAAAUUAUUUUUUCAUCCAAUAUAAGAUUAUUAAAGCAUUAAAGUGUAUCUCUAAAACAUAAGCUAUUAAAUGAUGGUAUUUUUAAUAUUUAUAUUCAGUAAUGCUAAAAAUAAGCAGCAUCUUUCGUUAUCUCCAAAACAAAACAUCAAUGAAAUUCUCGGCGAGAAAAAAAGCGAUGCUAAAAAUAAGCAUCGUCUUUCGUUAUCUCCAAAACAAAACAUCAAUGGGAUUCUCGGCGAGAAAAAAAAACAAAAAGGAGAGAAGUAUCAGAGAAUUGGAAAUUUGAGCACCUUCUCAGCCAUUGCUUGAACCGAUUGAUGUAGAGACCAGCGAGAAAGCAGCGAGGGAAACAAGAAGAGGCAUGCUGCUUUAUAAAGCUGUUGAACUUCGAAGUCUUUCAAGUUACAGAACGCAGGGCGGAGCCAUUGAGGGGCCACAGUGGCCAUGGUCCCCCCUUCAAUUUUUUUAAAAUUACAUAAAGGUCCUUUAUAAUAAAGAUUAAAAUUUUUUUCCUGAGAGAGGUAGAUAGCACGCUACCCGCUUCGUUUAUUUCAGUUAGAAAUAAAUUUAGCUGGAUAUGUGAAUCAACUAAAAUUCGAACUUGGGUCUCGGAUAUCAACCAUCAAGUCCUUUGCCACUUGCUCUAGGGAAGGUCGAUAAAAAAAAAAAAAUUAUAGAUUUUAAUUUUAGGUGGCCAAAUUAAUUUUUUUAAUAAAAUUUGUCUUUUUUUUUUCGAAUUUUUUUUUGUUCUUUCCCUUCAAUUCUCAUCGUCUUGUUCCUCUCUAAGUAUAUUAUCGUUAUUGUUGCUAGUAAUAACUGAUCAGUGAAUCCGACAAAUUUUUUUUCCUUACUAUUCGAGGUCAAAUUUUUUUCUAUCAAAUUUAAAUUUUGGCUCCCCGAAUUUUAAUUUCUGGCUUCGUUCCUGCAGAAAAGAACUGAAAAGAAAGUAAGCAAAAAGAACAGACCAGUCCCUGUUAGCGUCUGGCAAAAUUUGUAUCAUAAUACUAGAGAGCUAAAGAUAGGAUGCCAUUUAAAAUUAUGCUAUAUAUAAAAUUAUUGGGGAUAAAAUUAAGAGUAGUACUAUUUAUAAUGUGGUUUGUAGUGCAUAUUUUUUUUGUUGUGCAAUAUGCAAUUUUGGUUGGUGAGCACUCUAGUGGGGUCUAGUAUUGGUUUCAGUGACAGUGAGAGAGCCAUGGCCAUGCAUGAGAGUUGUUGCGCUAGGGCUGUCAACGACCGAACAAUAGCGAGAAAAGGGUCGGCUCGUGUUUGCUCAUUUAUUAAAAGAGGUGAAAACGAGUAGAUUCGUUAAAAUAUCAGCCGAAAAAAUUCAACUCAUACUCUUGGAUUUAUUGUGUUUGGCAUAUUACUCUUAGAUUUAAAAAUAAAUAAAUAAAUAAAUGUACACUUUGUUAGCUAUUUAUUAUUAGCUAAAAUAGGUCCAAUUUUCUGAGGUUAAACAAUAAAUCUAAUAUCAAGAUGGUUUGAAUUAGGUUGAGCCCUUAAGUGCAAUAGGUGCUUUCUUUCUAUCAGCACAUACUUUUGAAAUAAUUAAUUAGUGCUUACAAUCCACACACACUUCGGUAGAUAAUACAAUAUAUUAAUUGCGUCCAGAAAAUUCAAUAUUAAAUUCGUGUCUUUUAAUUUCCACUGAAACCAACGGCAUUGACAAAUAUGAGAAAACAUUUGAAAUACAUGAGCUUGCCACUUCCUGUUUGCCUACUAGCCAUCAAGAUAAGGAUUUUAAGGAUGGCAAAAAAAAAGUGAAGAUCACAAUUUCUGCUAGGGUUCUGUAUUCAUUCAUCCCGUCGAAGUCAAAGUGUCGAAGAAGAAGAAGAAGAAUCGAAGAAGAAGAAGAAGAGAGGAUUUCAAGUCUAUUUUGAAGUUGUAAUAUGUGACAAGAUGAAGUUUAGGUUGACAACUUUGCAAACCCCUUAAUGAUGUUGAUUUGUUUCUUUAAGGUUUCUUCAAUAUUGUUUACAACCUAAUCAAUCUACAUUGCUAGUCACUUUUACCCCUUAAUGAUGUUGAUUUGUUUCUUUAAGGUUUCUUCAAUAUUGUUUACAACCUAAUCAAUCUACAUUGCUAGUCACUUUUACUUUUCCGACAAAGGAUUUGGUGGCUGGUAUCUGAAGUUCCAAGUUCGAAUCCUAGUUGAUUUAUAUUUCCAGCUAAAUUUAUUUCUAAAUGAAAUAAACGAAGCUGGGAGUAUACUACUUAUCUCUAAAAGAAAAAACUUUUACUUUUAUGACUGCUGUCACUUUAAAAUGAUAAUAUUAGAAUAUUAUUAGUGAUUAAGAAAAUUUAAACGCUAGAAGCUUUUGAUUUCUUAAUGACUUAAGUCUAGUUUGGUAAUAUGGUGGUUAACAUGCUUCUCCCGUCGUGGCUUAGUUUGGUGCAUGUGAUGCUCUAAUUGAUCAGGCGCGGUUAGUAUUUUUUAUAGCGAAGAAAAAUUUAUUACUUGUACAAAGUGUAUGCAUAUAUUUUAUACACAAUAUUUUUAAAAUUCUAUUAUAAAAAUUUAAAUUCUCUAAUUAUUUAUGUAUAGACUUUGUGCUAUUGAUCACAUCUGUGAGAUUAAAAUUUGAUUUUGUAAUAUUAAAAUAUUAAAAAAUAGAUUGAACGCAGGUACGUAGUCCACUAAAACUUUCGGGUGUACGGAAUCUCUUACAACGGUUAAGAGGGUUAGUUGGGGAAAGCAUGUCGCUUUAAGCUCCGCCCCAACCACUCUUUAAUGUAACUAGCGAUAGCGAUGUGAUGUGGUGGAUAUACUUUGUAAGUUCUUAAUUGCAUAUGUAAAUAUAUAUAGUAUGCACUAUUUAUAUAGAAUUAUUUUAUAGAGUCAAACAGUGUCAAUUUUGAUGUAAUUAUUCAACACAUAUUUUAUAUGGAAUCAAUUCCAAUGUGAAAAUAUUUUUUGAAGCAAAAUAGUAUAGUUUAUAAUAUACUUAUGUUUUACGUCAUUUUGUUCAAAAAGUACAUCUCUAAUUUUUUUAUGUUUGUAUAAUAAUAAUAAUAAUGAGAUAUACACUAAGCUGUUGUUAGUUGGAUGUAAUAAUAAUUAGAGAAAUGAUUCGGUACUUUUUUUUUAAAAAAAUAAAAAAGAUCUUAACCGUUGAUUAAUAUAGGGUAAAAAUAUAAUUUUAAUACUUAGCAGGUAAAAGGAUUAUUUUAUUCUAGGUUAGUUUGGUAAUUAAACAAUACAACAUUUAAAGAAACUUUUAAUUGGGGUCCUAAAUUUACGCAUUAAUUGGCACUAAUUUAGAAAAUUAAUUGAUUAACCAAAUUUAUGCAAUUAUUAGGCAUUAAUUUAGGCAUCUACUUUAAUGUUUUAGUGUUUCUAAAAUUAUGCAUUAAUUUAAAUUAUAGGAAUUUUAGAAAUAGUUUUAUUUCUAAGUACGAAGUACGAUGAAUUUAAAUUUUAAAUAUUAAAUACUUAAAAUUUAAUAGUGAAAUUUAAAUUAGAGGAAUUUCAUAUUAGUGCUAAUAAAAUUGUAAUGUUGGUAAAUUUUUUUUCAACAUAUUUAAUAUGUUUAAGAAACUUUUAAAUUCCUAUAGUUUAGACAUUAAUUUUGUAUCACUUAUUUAAAAAAUUUUGAAUGUAGGUUAAAAUAUUUAUAAUUUAAAUGUAUUUAAUAAGUUAAAAAAAAAAAAGAAUUGUUCUACUUUAGACAUUAAUUUUGUAUGACUAUUUAAAAAUAUUUAUAAUGUUGGUAAAAAACUAAAAAAAAAUUAAUAUCCUAUAAUAUGAUAAAAUUUGAAAAUUCUCAUAUCGAACUAGAAAAAAAUUAACUAUUUCAUUCUUAUUUUAUUAAAAAAAAAUUUAGAAAGCAAUAGGAAUGGAAAGAAAUUUUAAAGCAUAGUUUCUUAAAAUUAAACUUAUUUACAAUAUUAAACAAAUAAACAAAGAAAAAAGAAAAAAUUAAAAUAUCAUACUGUCAAAUCAUUUGAAAAUUUUCUUAUAUGAAAUGCCAAAUUAUGAAAGGAAAGAUAGAGAGAGAAAAAGGAAACAAAGAGAAAAUAAAAAAUUUGAAAAUAUAGUAGAGAUAAAAUGACUAAAUUGCCUAUGUAUUACAAGACAAAAAUAUCCUUUUUUGAGAUACCUGGUAACCGGUACCUCUCCCAAAGUGAUCUGCUAUUGCAGGUCACAAUUUAAAAAAAACUAAAUCUAAGCCGUUGAAUACGCGUGAAUGAACGGUAACAAAAAAAAAAAAAAGUGUAGAAGCAUUACUGUAAUAAUUAUAGUAAAAUUGUAGAUGCAUGUAUGUGAUUAAAAUGCAGCAGUUAUUGUCACAUUUUUUUUGAUUGAUUGAAUGUAAUAGAAAGUGUUGCAAGAAUGAAUAAUUUAUUUAGUUUCAUUCCGUUAGGAAUUGUAUAUCUAAAUUUGUUACUUUACAUAUAUAAUUGUGAGAUCAUCUCUAAUGUGUGUGUGGGAGCCCGCGAGUGGGAGCCCGCGCGUGGGAGUCCAACUAUGAUACUUUUAAAAGUAUCAAGUAUUUGAUGUUUGUAAGUUUUUCAUCUUUAGAUCUAUUCUUUUGACCAAUUCGACUUAAAUUUUGUUAUUUUAUCAAUCACGCACUCAACUUUAGGGGACUGUGAGUGUAGUCUGGUUAUUGUGCUUUUAAAAGCACCAACACACUUAGUACUAGUAAAAUUUUUCACCGUUAAAUUUAUUUUUUUUGACCAAUUUUAUCCCUUAGAUUAUGCGUUAUUUCGCCAACCACUUAUUUAAUUUUAAGAAACCACUAUUAUCCUAAACUUAGAAAGUUUUAU
This 60049-nucleotide long non-coding RNA is filed under the name Ananas comosus (pineapple). Its description in RNAcentral is "long non-coding RNA (ACOM_LNC016150)". The record is from RNAcentral. Lineage: Eukaryota; Viridiplantae; Streptophyta; Magnoliopsida; Poales; Bromeliaceae.